UGCACAUGAUACAUAAAAUAAUAAUAAUAAUAAUAAUAAUAAUAAUAAUAAUAAUGUAUGAAUAGUAGUAGUAGUAGUAAUAAAUAAAAAGGAAUAAAAAAAAGCAUAAAUAUCAUGCCAUAAUAAAUUAACAACAAAUCGAGAAUUAGAAAAAAAAAAUAAUUAAGCUUCAAAGAGUAAAUAAAGACUAGAGAGACCUUGUUAAUUAACCUACUAAGAGAAAUAUAGUGUUAUAUAUAUAUAUAUAUAUAUAGAACUAGACUGGAAUAUUAUUAAUAACAUCAAGUUAUUGGUACUAUUAGUUUUUUAGCCAUUGGAUUGAGAAAUAUGCGGUUAGAAUGAUAUGAGCCCCAUAGGGUUGAGUGGGUGGUUGGUUGAAUAGUAUAAUUUAACAGAUAAAAAUUAUCAAAGGGUUAAAUCUAACAGUGGAAAACUCGAUAGCACCAAAUGCUUGGUGCUAUCGAUAGUAUCCCAGCCGGACUCAUAUAUAUAUAUAUCUCAUUUGGUGCUAUCGAUAGUAUCCGAGCCGAACUCAUAUAUAUAUCUCGAGAACUAUGUGUAUGUGAAUGAAUGCUUCAUCAAAGAAAAAAAUCGCAUAACAACACCAGCAUUAUAGCAAAAUCUCUAUCUAAAAGGAAAAAGAAAAGCACAAAAUAUAAUAUAAUAAAGGAUAAGAUACCCAAAAAAAAAAACACAGCACUAAUUAGAGAGGAGAUCGAUACUAGUAAGCUCACUCCAUUCAUUAAUUAGUUUAAACUUUGUUUCAUGUACAGCUAAUUAAUCUCUUCAUCUUUUUUAGGAUUAUUUUUCAAAAUAAAUUAACACAAAAAGUCGAGAGGAGAAUAAUUAAUACUAAUACUAAUUAAUAAUAAUAAGCUCGCUCACUUAAUUACUCCAUUCAUUCACUAAUAAUUCGUACUUGUUUUAUGAACAGGAACUAAUCCAUCUCUCUCUCUCUCUCUCUCUCUCUCUCUCUCUCUUAGCAAAACAAAUUAAGCAUCUGGAGAAUGGGUUAAAAUAUUGUUCAAAAACGAAGGAAAAAAAAAGAAAGGAUUUUUAAAUCAAACCACACGAAUACAUGAAACCUAACAACAAAAGCACAGCAUAAAUUAAUUAGUAGAGAGAUCAAUCGAUCGAUCGAUCGAGGAGAACACACCGAAAAGCAUAUAUAUAAUUAAGCUCACACACUUCAUUCAUUCAUGCAGUUGGAAGAGACCAUGCACCUCACCUCAUUAAUAUUUGAUGAUAAUAAUAAUAAUAAUUUAUACUCGCUGUUAUAGCUCUAAUUAAUCAAUCUCAUCAUCUCUAUCAUUCUCUUUUUUUUCUUUUUCUUUUUUUCCCACUAAAAAUUUGGUUGUGGUUGGUUGGUUGGUUGGUUAACUAAGAUCAAGAAGAGCUAAUUAAUAAGAGUAGAGAGUAGAGUAGAGUACUCUAUUAUCAGCUAGAAGUAGCCGUUGCGGCCGAGGUGGAGGAGGCCGCCGCCGCAUUUGGGGCAUGCGCCGACGCGCUUCGGCACCAUGAAGUACAUGAAGCAGGCCUUGCACCCCGCCGCGACGAGCACCGAGGUCGCGGUGGCGGUGGCGGUGGCGGAAGAAGAGGUCGCUGACGACGACGAAUCAUCGGGCGCUGCGGCGGCGGCGGCGGCGGCGGAGGCGGAGGCGUAGGAUGACGACGAUGAGGAGGAUGACGAUGAGGAUGAAGAUGCUGAGGAGCCUCCUCCUCCUCCUCCUCCUCCUCUGUAGCGGCUGUGGGCACCGGAGACGGUUGUGGAAUCGUCGUCGGAUGAGGCGGCGCCAUUGUUGUCGUCGUCGUUGUCGUCGUUGUUAACGUUGUUGUUGCCGUCGUCGUCGUCGGAGUAGGAGUAGGAGUAGGAGUAGGAGUAGGAGGAGGAGGAGGGGGAGGGGGAAGGGGAGUGGAGGAGGAGGUGGUGGUGGUGGUGGUGGUGGUGGAAAUGGCGGGGGUCUUGGGUGGUCCUGGUACCAUCUUUCCAGUUGAUGUAGUACACUUGCCCUGUCUGAAACCAUCAUAUAUACACCAAUAUAAAAACAUGAUCUUUUCCUUUGUUUUUGUAUCUCCUCUUUUAAAUUCACACACACACACACACAAACAACAACAACAACAACAACAACAACAACAAAAACAACUUGGUGAUGAUGAUAAGAUUAGAAGCUAAUUGCGACUAACUCGAGUUUGAUCUUGAAGCUUAUUUAUGUGCUUAUAUGUUUAUAUGUGAGAUGUGUGAGAGAAAAAAGAAGGAUGAGAGGAGAGAAAAUUAAGGUUUUGUAUGUAAACUGAAAUGAACAUAUAUAUAUAUAUGUAUAUGUAGUAGCUUUUCAUGGAAUGAACGAACAUGGAGGGAUCUCUUUGCCAAAAUAACCCAUUUAGAGUGAGCAAGUGGUGUAUUACUACAAUAAAGUGGAAAAAGGAAGGAUUUUGAUUGGGGAGGGAUGGUUUAAGCUACAUUUUUUUUUAUCAAUGAGCAAUGAACAUUUUAUUCUAAUAACUACAAUUAAUUUUAUAAUUAAUAAGAAACAUGUACAAAGAAUAAGGAGAGAGAGAGAGAGAGAGAGAGAAAGAGCGAAAGUAACAAGGGUGAAGGAAAAAAGAAAAAGUUGGGAUUUUGAUGGUGUGAUCCAACUCCAAAUGGCCAUUAGAGAGAUGGGGAUGCUACAUUAAUUACGAUAAUCGAUUCUGAUCAAAAUGCGACAAAAACCCACAACAAAACCCUAGAAGAAGAAGAUGAUGAUGAUGAUGAGGACGAUCGAUGAUGAAUCCAACAAAAAAAGAAAGAAAAAAAAACCCUAAAACCGGGAUUGGGGAGAUGGGGACGCGGCAUUAAUGAUCAAUGAUUGGAAAUUAAUGCAUCUAGAAAUGCUCUCCGAGGGGAGGGGAGGGGGAAGAGGAAGUAGAAGUACUACGAGCAUUAAUUAAUGCGAGAACAAUUGAUUAAAUUAAUAAAACAAACAAACAAACAAACAAACAUACAAUUAAUAAUUAGUUAGAUGAUGAACAACACCACGAACACGGUGCGCGCGUGCGUACGUACCCGCAUGUCGAGGCACUGUUCCCAGUGGAAGGGGAGGGCCGCGUCGGAGUUGAGCUCCACGGUGACGCCCCCCUCGCUCUCGUCGCUCGCCUCCUCCUCCGCCGCCGCCGCCGCCGAGCUCCGGCGCGGAUGCGGCGGCGCCGCCCCCCUCGAAUGCGGCGGCGAUCCGCGGGGCGAGGGCGCCGCGCCGAGGGAGCAGCUGCGGAGCGACGCGGCGAUCAUCUCGAUGUUUGGCCCCGUCAUCGGAGGAGGAGGGAGGAGGGAGGAGGGAGACAAAGCCGAAACCCUAAGAGAGAGAGAGAGAGAGAGAGAGAGAGAGAGAGAGGAGGGGGUGGUUAUAAAAUGAGACAAGGGUUGGGGGAGGAGGAGGAGGAGGAGGAGGAGGGGUUUUAUUAUUUAUUAUUUAUUAUUUAUUAUUAUCAUUAUCAUUUUUUUUUUAUUUUUUUAUUUUUGACUCUUAUUUUUUCGGUAAAAAUUCAUAGAGACCCAUCAACUAUAUGACUCUCUGAAACAGCCCCCUAAACUUUUUUUUAUUUUUUGAGAAUAUUAUAUGAUCCCUAUAUAUCUCUAUUCUACACAAAGACCUUUUGAAUUUUUAGUUAAAAAUUAAAAAAUUAAUAAAUUGUUGGAAAAUUGUAAUUAAGUCUUUGAAUCAGUAGAGUGUAAAUUUUGUAUUUAUUUUAUAGGAGUUCACGCAUCGUUACUUAUAUAUAUAUAUAUACAUAUUUUAUUAAUGUCCCUCUCAACUUUAAAAUUUUUUGAAUUAAUUGAUGUGGGUAAAUUCAAUAGAUUUAAUAAUCUAAAAUACGAUUUGGACGGUUAACAACUAAUAGCUAGCUAUUUAUUAACUGGAAUAAAAUGUUUAGGUCUCAAUUAACAGCUAAUACACAAUAUAAAUUAAAAAAAUUGUAGUUGAGAGGGUCCUACUCAAAAAAAAAAUGGCUAAGGGGUCUAUUUUAAAAUAGGUUCAUUUUCAUUUUCAUUUUUUUUUUGGAAAAUGGAAUUUUGGGUAUUUAAGGAAGGGGAGUUGGAAAUGCCGAGGGAAUCGCAGUGUUCCCAAAAUAUCCCCCAAAGUUUGAGAGAGAGAAAGAGAGAGGGAGAGAGAGAGAGAGAGAGAGAGAGAGAGGUGGUUUAAAAUGGAUUUUAAAUUUGAGUGAUGAUGGUACACUUACCUUAAAAGUAUUUAAAUUAAAAUAUUAAUUACGAGUCAGUAUUAUAGAUAUAAAAAUUAGGAAUAAAUUUGACUUUUUUGAAUCUCAAACAUGACAGAUGAUGAGAUAUUAAUAGAAUUUCUAUUUUUAAAACAAUUUAAUCAUUUUGAGGAAUAGAGUUCAGGGGUUCAUUUAAAACAUGGUUAGAUGCCCGUUGAGGUCAUAUUCCGAAUAAAAUAAUCUCAAGUUAUGAAUUGGUUUGUUCAAUCAAAUUAUAACAAAAGCCAACAUUCUAAUCUCUUAACCUGGUUACAGCAUUUUGCGUGGCGAUUAAGUCUAAGAGAUAAAAAAAAUUAAGUAUGUUAGGACUAAAAUAGUUUUAAGAUGGAUGGCCUUUUUGACAAGUGAGACGUCGCACUUAAACUUCAGAUUGUGAAUUACAAAUUAGACUAAUUUCGCACUUUCUCACUUGAGUACUAUGUGAUUUAAAGUGUAUCAAAUUAGUGUUCUGUGGUUUUAUUUUUAUCUUUUCGUCAGAUUUUUCGUUAAUGUUUUGUUAAACUAUUUUCAAAAAACUUCAGGUACCCCACCUAGGUUUAUCGAAUAUUCAUUUUAAUGCCCUUUAGUUUUAAUUUUAUCACUGAUUUAACGAAAAAAAUUAAUGAAAUCAAUAAUAAAAAGAUAAAAAUAAAACCACUGAGCACUAAAUUGAUACACUUUAAACCACAUGAUAGUAAUUAAAGUGAGAUAAGUGUGAAACAACAGGGAUGAUAUUUGUGUGAUUUUUUUUUUCUUCUUAUGAAAGAAAAUUCAAAAAAAAAGAUGAAAAAAAAGAGAAGAAAAUGAAGAUCCUUGUCCCAAAACAUGCUUUUGCUGCAGGGAGGGUUGCAUUAAAAGUAGAGGAGAGAUGUAGCUUUGUCCUGCAACAAAUAGAGGGGGGUCAUACAUCCCCUUCCUCCCCCCCCCCCCCCUGAAGGAAACACCAUUCCCAGAGUGCUCCAUCAAAUCCCAGGCAUUGCAUCACAAAGAAUGGAAUCUAAUCUGAAAAAUUUUGGCUGCAUCCUUUUGGAGCAAACCCUAAUGUGGGAAUCAUGUCUUGAGAUUGCCAAGCAAGAGAGCUGAGCAAUGUAUAUACAUGAAAAAUUAAAUACAUGAUGUUCUUUCCACUCUCAUACAUUUGUGGUUGUUGAGUAUGUACUUCUUCUUGCUUCGGCUUUUUGAAGAGCUUCUCAAUUUUACUAGAUUUGCGGGAUUUUGAGAAGUUUCUGUUUUAAAAAGAUAUAUACUUUUGCUGAUUCAGUGAGUUGAAUAGAUACGUUAUCCACACUGUAUUAGAGACUCAUACUGAUUCAAUGAAUCUAUUUUGCUAGCGAUACUCUUCUACUUUUUCUAUAACAUGAAGUUGUUGAAGAUAUUUUAAUCAUGAAAUUUUAGUUAUUUUUGGAUGGUUGGACCAAGCAUAGCUUGAAACUCAUGUGUGUUGGAUAAUCAUUAAAAACUCUCCUACAAAACUACUACAUGUUGAAUGUUACACUUACAACAAGGUACUAGAAAUGAUAUAGCAUGGGUAACAACCCUCUCCAAGCCCAUAGCCCCAUGUGGCUAUAGCCAACUUUGCUAGUUUGUACUAGGUUAGAUGGCCACCAGGGUUUGACCUUCUAGUGGUCAACUACCCAUAAGAGGUGAUGGAUCACAAAAUCUUAAAGAGGAUUUUUUUUUUUUUUUUUUUUUUUUUCUUUUUCUUUUUUUUUUUUUUUUUUUUUUUUUUUUUUUGGUGACAUUCAUAUCAGAUUAGGAAUAAUUUAAUACAUUAUACCCUAACACCCUAGAAAAUAUAAUAUGGAAAACUUUAGCAUCUCCACUUCAUAAACUUAGCGGAAAGGAUAGAGGGUUAUCUUAGAGGUUGAGGAUCGAUCCCUUAUAUUUCCGUAGGGUUGGUGAAAGACGGAGGUUAUCUUGGAGGUCAGGAGCCGAUUCUCUGUGUUUGCGUACUUUUGGAGAUUUAAUCUCCAGUCUUCCUUGGGCUAGGUUCCGAUUCCAACGGAAGGGUUAAGGGGCUUACGGGCCCAGUAAAAAAAAGAAAAAAUUCAUUAAAUCAAUCCUUAAGAGCCGAAAAAGUGCUGUUUCAAUAGAAUCAAUCACAAAGUUACUAACUAAUUAUACAUUGAAUUCUUCUUGAUCUAAAAUUUUUCUAAUAGCUUCCCACUGCAAUAAAAGCAAAAGCUUUAAAUUACAGCUCCCACUUUUAUAAUCCGAAUCUGACAUUGUUAAACGUUUAAUUUGUUAUUCUAAAAAGCUAUUUUAGAAGCUAAACUUGAUGAGCACUAAAUAGGAAUAUGUUAUCCUACCUGUUGCUGUUGGAAAUACUCUCUUGUCCUCACUGGAAAAUAGAAUGUUUGCAGAGUACUUUUUUAGCUUUUAUCACAUUACUGCCCCAACUUUCCUGGUGUCAACUCACAAAAAAAUGUGUUAGAGCAAAUUGCACAUCACAAUGCUUCAGUUACUCUAACCAAGUACAGCACCUUUGCUAUGUAUAUAUAUAUUUCUUUUAAAACAAGAUGAGUAAAAUGCAUGGAUAGUCCCUGUACUAAUUCUAUAUUACCACUUGGACCUCUACUUUUCACCUAAGCUUCACUUUGCUAAACUUUACUUCCUAACUAGCACAGGGGUGGGAAAAAAAAAGUCCAAAAGUUUGUUAUAAGAUAACAAUUUUGCCUCUUCAUCCAGAAAAUGACUUGUUUUAGUUUCAACCCCAGAUGGUUGAGAGGUUACUUUAUAACAAAAGUUGAUUUCUUUAAGCAUCAGGAAUAAAAAGAGCAAUGUAUGUGAAACUUUGAGAAAUAAAAGCAUUCACAAGAGAUGUCAUAUCUGAAGGAGAUUAUUCAGUUACAUCAGCAAUGCAUAUACAUCACAUAAAAGGCAGAAAAAUAAAAAAAUUGUUAUCACCUGUCAUAGCUUCAUUUUUAUUAGAUGGCUUGAACAGAAACAAAAUCAGAAACACUUAUUCAAUUACAGUUGCAUCAUGGACCUUACUGUUAUCAGCUACAUGUUUCUCAACUGAAAAAAGGGAAGCAAACACACAUGCAAAAGUCACAAUUUGCUUAAAACUGGUACCAUGCAUCGUUUUUUAAGAAGCAGAAUCGAAGUCCAUGGAAUUUUUCACAUCUUCUAUCAUCUUUUAAGCUGGCCUGUUAUAACUAUCCACAAUUCCUCAACAGGUUUCGGAUUUAUUAGCAGCUGAUGGAUAAUUUGUACAGAGAUUUAAGUGUAAAGCAGACUAUAAACUAAACUGAAAAGCACUUCAGCAAAUUCACCGAAAGUAUAUCCUUGUAAACCUCCGACAGUGAGAACUUACUUUUUGAAGAAGCUUUUCUUAGCUCACAAUAAACCCAAAACCCAAACUAUGAUAUAAUUUGAGCAGUUGUCCCUCAAAACGGUCUCGCAGCAGCUUCCAUCAUCUUCUUCAGUCUGGUCAGUCUCUCAAUCUCUUUCAAGGUCUACAAAUAUCCCAUGAAAAUAAGAAAACAGGUUCAAAGUUGAGACUAUAGCCAUGUAAUAAUUAUAAUUAAUAUUCUCAUUUUUUCCCCCCCGAAACUAUUUUGUUGUAGUAGUAGUAUUAGCAUGUUUUACCUCCAAUGCCAUGUCCUCUGUGGUGACAGAGUCUAAGUCUUCAUAGCCUUGUUUAGUGGCUAUUUCUGCGUGAAUUCAAUUGGAAUUAGUUACUAAUUUUGAAGAAACUUUUUAAGUAACAUUGUAAAUAAUCUUAAACAUAUAUACGAGGCCUAAAAAUGCAGGAAAUCCACAAAUAAAAUCAUGAUUUUCACAUUACCCUCAUGAAAUUUUAGGACCUACAUUUCACCCAAUCAACGUAUGAAAUCUGGUAGUUACUGUAUAAGCGGAUUAUUUUCAAGAUUCAAUAUUUCAGAGGGCAAGGUGAAACAAACAAAAGUAGUAGGAUUUUUCUGCAAUUUGGCCAUAAGCUAAUGAACUUUCUCUCGGCUUGUCUUUACUUUGGAGCGAGACAGUUGCAUCAGCCGUUCCGUAUCCUUCUUUCAAUUCAAUGUACCUCUGUGAAAGUUCAUCCAAUACCUGUAUGCAUAGUCAUGAAUUCAGCAUUCUGGUUAAAUAAUAGGUUGAGAAGUUUGGAAUUCAGCAAGAAUUCAAAGAAUUUUGUACAAAUCUGGCAGUGUAUCACACGAAAAAUAUACAGAUGUACCAAAUUCUUAUGCAGUGAACAAUUCCUAAAUUGUCCAUAAUUCUCAGUAAUUUUCUAGUCGCUGUUUAUAUAUAUGCGAACAACUCAAGGAAAAAAAUUAAACAAAAAUUCAUGAGCUAUGCAUAAAUUUUCUAAAAUAUGGAGAAUAUUGUGACUAUGUUUAUUAUUGGCCUGAACCAUGAUUACAGACACCUUUUCAGGUAUCUGAUCAAAACCCCUCUAAUUUUUUAUUUCUCGGGAGAUGAAUAUUGAUAUACUGCAUCUUCUUGCAUUUUCUAUUUGAAGAAGACCGAGCAAUAUAAUCACUUAAAAGCAAAACAUGAAAGAAGUGAAAUGGUUUCCAUCCUUCAUACAUCAAACUCUCUAGUAAAAACAAGAAAGUAGUUAGGGCUCAUAAUUGGACAUCAGGAAAAUUGAGUUAACCUUCAAAAAGGAAUCAGAAUUCGAAGUGUCUAGUGUAGUCUCUGAAGGUGAUGAAGCCCCAGCAUUCACUGCCUCGUUUGCUAAUAAUUCUAUAGGAACAUCUAUCCAAAUCAAGAUGCCAUAUCUCAACAGAGCCCUUGAAAUUUAGCAACUUAGAUGUUAAGUACUAGGAAUAUGGGAAAACUGAAAAAACAUGAUAGAUAUAAAAAAUAUAACAAUGAAAGGAAAGGCCAAAAUUACAGAUUAGUUGAGCUCUCGACAGCACCAUCCCCAGCGCAAACCAGCAAACGACCCAUUGAUGACAAUUGCUUUAGCACUUCAGUCUACAAAGAAUUGUGCAAUUAAGACUAGAGUCAUAGAAUUGUACGAGGAAAAAAAGAGUGCCUUCUAAUUAUGGAGAGGCACUUUAGUAUAUCUAAGGCUACAUAUUUAAAAAAUAAAUUAUUGGAAGGUCAUAUAAAAAAAUUCAUUAUGUAUAUAUAUACACCGAAAUAGAAAAAGUUAUGAAAUUACAAGAACACCUCAGAGUCACGAAAACCAUUUUCAUCUGAUUCUCGCAAUAACUUAGCAGAAGACUCGCCGCCACAAGCUUGCUCCACCAAACUAUCACUACUUGCCAAAAACACAAUUAAACAAAAAAAAGAAAAUUCAAACAUUUGGCUAAAAGCCAUAGAAACUUUUUAUUCUGCAAGGAAGAAAGUGAAGACCUGUCAAAGUAGUAAUAUCUCAAUGCAUCGGCCAGAAGCUUGCCCACACCGGUUUUCAUGGCGCAGUUCAUCCCUUUAUAUCACAAAUUAACGGGGCUAAGAUCAUUACAUGCCUUUUUCCACAUCAAAUUUUGCAUGACUGUGUGCAAGUGUAGGCUCAUGCAAGGUACCCUUAGGUGGUUUCCAUUUGAUCCCCAGAUUUUUAAUUGUUACAAUUGAGUUUUUAACCUUUACAUAACUAAUCCAUCGCAUCAUUUCCACAAAAUCAAAGUUAGGGACUCAAAUUCAAUUGAAACAAAUAAAAACCUAAAAUCUGGCGACCAAACUGACGCCGCAGAAAAAAGGUUGAGGACCUUUGUGAAAUUGAACCUAAUAAAAAAUACAAGAAACUAAGCUUACCAACAAGAAAUAUGGAUGUCCCCUUCAAGUCAGAGGAGAUCUCGGUUGCCUUCUUCUGCAUCCAUAUGGUUACUAAAGAUAUGGUACACUCAAUGGAUUGCAUUGGAUAUUUAGGCACGAACAUGCGAAAUGCGUACAAAUGGUUUCAUCAUGCUAAGACACUGGAUGUCUUACCUUUACCACAAGAGAAGGCUCAAGCUCAGCCAGCGACAUUCUAGAACCUAUACAAUUAAUCAGUAUAUAUUAGAUUGUUGGUACAAAGUCAACUUAAAUAGAUCACUAUGAAACACAACUUUUGCUUCAUAUAUUAGUGGUAGAAAAAGAUAACUAGAUAAAACUUUGCAUAAUUAAAACUUUGUCCAAUUUACCCAAGUGCAACGCACGAAGUACUAUAUGUAAAUAAGCUGAUGCCGCCAUCUAAGCCCACCUAGAAGUGACGGUUGGAUUUAAUAUUUUGAUUAAUUCUAUGAAAAAGAGCGAGAUAAGAUGUUCCGCGUAUUUUGCUGCUACUUCUGCAAAUACACGGUAUGUCCUAAAAAUGGAAUUUAUACCAAAUCCAACAUUUUAAUUCUGCAAUUCUGCUAAUAGGAAGAUAUUGCUAUUGAUUCUUCAAAGUUCAAAUUAUCUACCCUACGGACUAAAUAUUUUUCCUCAGCAUAAUACAUAAUUUUGAAUCCUCCUUGGUUGGUAUAAAUAAAAUUUUGAAAUACCCUGUAUUUCACAAAUCACAAUCAUCAAAAGUUUUUGUUUUUUGAUUUAUAACUGGAAAAUAGAAUCAAGUUCUAUUUAAUCACAAUCAUUUACUAAAAGUGCUUGCUUGUUAAACAAUUUCUCUACUCGAAAAGCAGAAAGAGGGAAUAUUGCACUAACAAGGACAAGAGGUAUUGCUAUAAGCAAAAAAACCCUACAAUGGGCUUCUCGGUCCGGAAAAGCAAAAUCUCAACGCGAAGCUUCCCAUUUCCAUUUCCAUUUCCGUUUCUGAUUUUCAUAUUAAAAUAUUGAGAAAUUUCAGUGAAAAAGCUCUUCAGAGUAGCUUGAAUUGAACGAUUAUUUUAUGAAUUGUCCCACCCUACAACAUAACUGAUGCUACAACACCAAGUCCUCGAAUUUACACUUCCUGGUGGUAGCGGCUACACAAAAAAACCCCGAAAACCCUCGAAUUGAAACGAAACUAGGGUUCUAGUCACAACAAACUUACUCAAAACACAUAAAUCUCAAAGCUUUGAGAUCAAUAAAAGAGGAGGAGAGAGCGAGGGAUCUCACUCACCACCGGAGGAUCCAUGAUGUCGCGAGCUCCGGCGGAGUCGGGGCGGCGCGCUUUUGGGGGAGAAGAGGGAGAGGGAGCGCGGGGGAUUCGAGCGUAGGAGAGGAGAGGGAGGGGGUGAGGAAGGGGCGACGAAGCUUAGGGCUCUCAUCGCCAUUGCCACUGAGAGAGCUCUACCUCUCUCUCUCUCUCUCGCUCUCUUACUCUAAUUUCCCUCUAUCUCUAAGAUAGGGGUGAGAAAUUGCAUGUUAGUCCCUCAAACUUUAGAUAGUUGUGAGUUCUUGCAUAUCAGUCCCCCAUAGUUUGGAAUUUACAUGUCUCAAUCACACCCUGGUUUUCCUUUUCAAUUUUUUUUUUUUUUAAGUGAGAGAGAAUGAUCCUACGCAUGAUAUCUAUUUUAUUUAUUUUGUACAAAUAACUUAGCUGAAAAUACAAAAGAACUAAAUUUAUAACUUGAGAUAUCUAAUAUCAGCCAUAAAGUAUUCUACCAAUUGCGCUUAAAACGAGCGAUGGUUUACCAUAAAAGAGCUACAAAGGGGCAAUCCCAAUAGUUUACAAAAUUUAAAAAAGUAUUAAAAAUUUAAAACUUUUUGAAGUGUUUAUAAUUUGCAAAUUAAGAAAAAAUUUGAGAAUGACAAAACCUCAUGAAUUUACUGCUGUGCACAAUAAAAAAAUGGUAGGAAAACCACCUUCUUAACAGCUUGUUUACUUUUAGCUAACAAAUUACAUAACCAUGAAGUUGCCUUUAAAAACACACACACAAAAAAAAAAAAAGCUUUCUCAUUGGAAGUGAAAGUCAGGUAGGUCAGUAGGUGCGAACAAUUACAUUUGACAAAACUCAAACUCGCCGAAAUAAAUAAGAAUUGCACGGCCAAACCAAAAAUGAAAACUGCAUUGAGUUGAAUAGCUCAAAAUAGAAAUUCAAUUCCUAUUCAAAAUCGCAAAAGUCAACCGACAUGUUCGGUGAUUUCUAAUCACCCGAUAAGCGCGAUGACACAAUACAAUCCGUAACUAAUCUCUUCAAUUAUCCGCAACCAACCUCAGAUUAAAAAAGUAAAAGGAGCAACAAGGUAUCAGCGAAAAAAAAAAAACUGUUCCAUUAAGAUUUAUUUGGGAAAAUAAAAGAGAAUUGAAGAGCCAUCUCAGUGCCGUUCGAGCUUUUUCUAUAAGUCAAGGAGGAGCCGGCGGGGGUCUUCCACCACGUCCUUGAUCCGCCUCAGGAAGAAGACGGCCUCUCUGCCGUCGAUCAAUCUGUGGUCGUACGUUAAGGCGACGUACAUCAUUGGCCUCGAGACAAUGCUGCUGUCCACGACCAUCGGACGCGGGACGAUCGAAUGCAUCCCCAGAAUGGCCGACUGCGUCAAAUUUUUCCAGGGUCAAAAGUUUUGGUAUGUGAUCAGCUUUCUAAAAUGUAGAAAAGCAUUAAAAGAAACUGCAUGUAACUGCCUUAAUGUUCAGACCAUUACCUCUAAACCGGUCUGAUUAGACCUUCCAUUCCAGGAAAAGCUAGAAAUUUCAGAAAUAUAUGGUAUAAAUUCUUAAAAUUGGUUAUAGUGGGUAUUACAAUCAUAUUUCGAUUAAUCUAACAGAUGCCGGGCGUAAAAGAUGUGAUAAGAGGGGGUGAAGUGUUCGCAGAAUCGCAGUCAAAACAUUGCGCAGCUUGAAAUAUGUAGGUCAGUAGGCUUAUUCAUAUUUCGGGGGGACAAUAAGCAAAUUGUGAAAUUUUCAGGGGCUUUCAUGCAUUAUAACCCUCGAAAGAAAGGUAUUAAUAACAGAAGGACGGCCGCUUCACCUGAGGAGGGUUAAUGAUGGGUGUGCUGAGGAGGCUCCCGUAGACUCCGCCAUUAGAAAUCGUGAAUGUUCCACCAGCCAUCUCGUCGAUCGAUAUUGUCCCCUCAUUUGCCUUCUUAGCGAGGGUAUUAAUCGUCUUCUCUAUAUCCGCAAAGUUCAUUGCAUCAACAUUGCGGAGAACCGGAACCACUAAACCCUGAAAACAAAACCAUCGAACGACAUUUUAAUGGCCUUCCUAUUAUGAGAAAAAUGUUAAAAUUACAAAUCUUCUUCAGAGGCAUAGAAGUCCUAUUGGUGGAAAUUACAGUCAACUGAUGGACAAAUAUGUACAGAUUUUGGAAUGUCGCAGGGAUUAGUUUGAGAAUUAACAUAUUUGAAGGACUAAUCCGCGAUUCCUGAACAUUGUAGUGAUGCACAUGCAUUUAACCCAACAAAGAGAGGGGACUGGAAAAGCAGCUUGCCAAACCUUAGAUGUGCCCACGGCAAUGCUGAUGUCGAUAUAAUCCCUAUAGAUGAUGUCAUCACCAUCGAUGACCGCAUUGAUGACGGGCUGGUUUUGAAGGGCAGACACAGCAGCCUGUUGCAUGGACAAAAAAUAAAAAAUAAACGAGAACAAGCUUGAAGCGUCGUGAAAUAUAUCAGUUCCAUUGAAAACAUUCGCGUCGAGCAAAUUCUCAUACCUUAAUGAAACCAGACAUUAGUCCCAGCUUCACACCAUGCUUUUUGAGAAAUUCGUCUUUGUAAUCAGAACGAAGCUUCAUCAGAUUUGUCCUAAAUGAAUAAUUCAUAGUUAUAAAGAGUAGCAAAUAAUAUAUAUAUGCAGCAAAACAGUCAUGUAGCAUAUUUUCUUAAUCCGGUUCAAAUAGUAUGUCUAACAGUGUGUGAACUUGGGCCAUGUUUAGCCCAUCUGGAACUUCGCAAAAAUGUCGGCUUGAGUAGAGCUUUUUGAAGAUGCAAUAACAAACUUUGAACAGCUUCCCAUUGCAGCAGAAGCAGAAGGUUCACGUAUGAGCAAAAGCUUCGAGGGCUCGGAAACCUAUUUCAGCUUCCUACCACAACAAAAGAUCAGAUUUUCUGUUUGCCAAGUAUCUGGCUACUACUUGGAGUAGAGAAGUUGUUGCCCCAAAAGGAUGAAAAAUGAGUGCUUAGACACUUGUGUAGAGCAUAUAUUAAAUAUAGGGGGAAAAAGGUUGCUGCAGAAACCCUUACAUGUUAACUUCAUUAAAUGUAGUCAGCAUAGCAAAUGUGUUCUGAGAAUCCUUCAAACGAGUGGCAACUCGCUUUCUCAGCCUUGGCAUAGGAACCUGCAUAAUUGUUUUUAAGUUAAAACAUAAAUAAUCAUCGCGAGAAUGCUUAGUUUAUCUACCAAUUUUCUAGGGUUAAUUUAAAUGGGUGCCUCUAAAACACAUCAAAAUUUCAUGCAUACCCUAAAGGUUGAAUGUUACAGACGACCAUGUAAAGAUACAUACAUGCUCAAAAUGCCUUCUUCAAAGGGUGUUUACAAAGACCACAAAGUUCAUUUUCAGGGGGCGCUUAUGAUAUUUUCAAGUAUGGGUAAAAAUAAACACCUGUAUUAAUAAUAACCGGUAUUAUCUGACUUUUGGAGGGAAGCUAUGAAAUCACACAUGUUGGAAGGGAUACAUGUUUGAUUCUGAGGACUAUCUUUCUUUUCUCACUAUAAUAUUUAAGGAACUCAAGCAUGCAUAUCUUUACCAAUAACAAACGAAAAUAGAAAGAAACUUACUCUUCUUUCCCUUUCCUUGGGAGGAAGCUGAGGCUCCGAAGGAGAGACUUUAGGAGGUGGAGGGGAAACAGCUUUCGGCUUUUCGGUUUUCGGGGGCUCCACUUUAUCAGCUUUUUGCCCAACCUUCUCUUUCUCAGCAGGAGGAGGGGGUGGAGGGGGAGGAGCAGCUUUUUCAGCCUUCUCUUCCGAGGGGGAGACAUGUGUCUCACUGGGAGAUAUAACAGCAAUUUUAGUUCCUGGAGUCACAGUAUCACCUUCCUUUGCUGUCAACUGUAAAAGAACACAUGCAUAGAAUUAUAUCAAAAUCAACUAGUCUGCUCAGUCAAGCUCUAUAAGAGGAGACAAUAAAGAAUAUUGAAGGCGAAACCUAGAAGCAACAAAAGAAUAAGAAGCUUUUACAUAUAUUGACAAGCAUAAUAAUCAAUUUAUAUAUAUAAAUCAAUAUAUAUAUAUAUAUAUAUAUAUAUAGAGAGAGAGAGAGAGAGAGAGAGAGAGAGAGAGUAGGGUUACUGUGCUAUUAGGAGCACAGCAGCCUUGUGCUCCUAAGUUUCUAGGGUGAGAGAGAGAAGAGAAAUUGGAAAAAAACUGAAAGAGAAGAGAAAUUUGAGAUACCCAGAUUUUCCCCAAUUUCUCUUCUCUCUCUCACCCUAACCAUCCAUCAAAAUUGAUGGAUGGUUAGAAAUUUAGGAGCAUAUGAACUGUUGUACUUCUAAUAGCACAGUAGCCCUACUCUCUCUCUCUCUCUCUCUCUCUCUCUCUCUCUCUCUCUCUCUCUCUCUCUCUCUANCUCUCUCUCUCUCUCUCUCUCUCUCUCUCUCUCUCUCUCUCUAUAUAUAUAUAUAUAUAUAUAUAUCUGAAAAAUCUGAAUCAAAACUAACAUAUCUUAAGUUGGAUGAUCAUCGAAUUCAUGGAGUUGGCAUUGCAUUAGUACUAAAAAUAGAAAAAGAGCGGGAAAGCACGGGCAUAUACAUAAAAAGAUAAGGCUUUAGAAGGCAUACAAAGAACCAAAAUUUUGUGGAAAUACGCAAUAGAUAAUUGGGAAGAAGCAUGUGUAAAUAUCUCAAGAACUAAAAUGGUCUCUCACCUUUUCGAUCACCCCAGCUUCAGGACUAACUACAUCGAUCGUCACCUAGAAUAAAGAUAAAAGAGAGGCAGAUGGAUAUAACCGAUAAAAGUGGAAAAAUAUGAAUUAUAUCAUAAUAAAGUAAGAAAAUAUAGUAAAAUUUUGAAAACGUAGCAUCCGCACCUUAUCAGUCUCAAUCUGUGCUAUUGGUUCAUCAACUGCAACUCGAUCACCAGGCUCUGUUUCCAAUUUGUUAUGUUAGAACAAAUGCACAUGAGAGAGAGAGAGAGAGAGAGAGAGAGAGAGAGAGAGAGAGAGAGAAGCAGACUCUUUAAGAAGGUGGCGAGAGUUCCAUCAGUUAUAGAUUCACCCAUGAAGGGAACAACAGCCUCAACCCGAUUGCCUGCAAUCAGGAAUUGAAUUAAAACUAAAUAUACCAUUUUAACAGUUUUCUAAAAUAUUCAUGUGGAUGAGUAAGAGAGAGUGCGUCGAAGAUUUUAUUGAAGCAGCUGCCACAACUUACCACCGUCAGAAGCAAAUGACCUGCUCCAUACUUGGUAAGGAGAAGUCCUUGGAAGGAAAUCUAUGACUUUCCUGUUCAAAAAUGAAAAAAUAACAAAACAUUGCAACAGUCAUGAACCAUAGUACAAAAGUUAAAUAUGAAUAUUGAAAUUUCGACUCCAUUGCUAACCUUGUAGGUCUCAAGCACUCAGUACUACCUGAAUUAAAAUACAAAGUAGGAAUUUUCAGAUAUUAGUAGCUAUAUAAUGAAGAAACACGGAAAAAAAAAAAAGAAAUUACCUGGAAGGAUGUGGUGGCUAAACUGUCGGACAUGUUUGCAACCCCUCAAGAGAAGCAAUGUCUGUGAAACAAAAUCAGAAUAUCAAACAACCAAACUCAACUAAUUAUCAAAACAAUUCCAAAAUUUUGAAGUUUCGAAUGCAUUACUGGAAGUAACGAAUUCAACUCUACCAACAAAAGUAAAAACAAAAAGUAAGUCCACAUCGCUUGUCCAAACGGAGAUUCGAACCACGGUCUCACUUAAUAACUUGAAUCCAUCAAAUCAUCAAAUUUCUAAGCUAUGUGUAUAAUCAUUCACUUGUCAUCAAUUAUGCGCACGAAUUGCCUCGCUUCUCUAACAGCUUCUUUAGUCUAAAAAGCAGCAAUCAAGCGAUUUUGACAACAAGAACAAUAAAAUGUUUGGGUCAUUUCCCGUGAAGGAAAACUGAAAUGAGCUUUUGAGGUUUACGAGCAAAAGAUCCGAUCUCAAGCUUAUGCUCUUACCAUAGCAGAAGCUUUUAGAGGGCUUUUAAUGAUGGAAAAAGUUCUAUUGCUUCUUAGAAUUACUCAAGCUGGAUACCACAAAAUCAAUUCAUCAUCUAGUGAAAAGAAAUCAACUCCCACGUAUACGGAUUCCCAACUAUAAAGCAAAAUUGAAGCUUUAAUCGUAAAGAAGCUACAAAAUCAAAAUCCCAUGAACUAGCAACCGAUCCGCAGCUAUUCCGAACGCGAUUUCACCAUGACCGGACCCUAAUUCCUCUCAAACUAAAAUAGCAACCAAAUCACCAAACUAACCAGGUUAAAUCGCAUCAAAACAAUGGAUUAACACACAAAAUAUACACAAUAUGACCCAAAAAGGGGGGAAAUCGGAGCUUUGAUUGCUCUAAUCGGAGGAAUCAGGGAGCUUACCGUGGCAACGGGGCGCCGGGCGAGGCGAGCGAGGUUCGAGGCCAUGGCGACGAGAUCUGAGAGAGAGGGGUCUCCUCCUCCUCCUCCUCCUCCUCCUCCUCCUCGUGAAGGAGCAAAGCGAUGGAUUGGAAAGGGUUCGAGAGAGAACCAGAGAGAUCGAGAAACGGAGCGAGGGAGAGAACGGCGCGAUCCGAGGGUUUUGGAUUUGGCCUCUUUCGCCUUUUUGCCUUUUCCCUUUUCUUUUUUCUUUUUCUUUUUUUUCCUUUUCGUUUUUAUUUAUUUAUUUAUUUUUUUUUUUGAGGGGUUUUAUAUAUUGAUUUUCUUUUUUCACCGCCUCCUCCACUAUAGCAUGCUUGUUUCGUAUAUAAUAUUACAUUUCACAUAUAACGAUAGGUUGAUUAUGAUAUAUUUUCUACGAUCAUAUCUGAGAACGCAGAAAUAUAAUCUUGUUGGUGGCCGAAUUUUUCGACCUUUGACCCGGUCAAAGAUCCUCCUCGGGAAGCGCGUCGGGGUGAGAAACGGCUGCGGAUAGUGACCCUCGAAGUUUGCGACAUUCGAUUGAUCAAGCGAUUCGGCUGACGAGGAAUCGGGUCAGCCGAGUUCGAAACCUCUACAACUAGAGAUGCAAACGGAUCCGGUUUGGUGGAGCUCCCUCCCCGAUCCGCCCCAACGGGGGCAGUAAAUGGGAGAAAAUAAACGGAUUCGGGGUAGGAAACGGGAUAAGUUUUACGAUUCGAGAGGGAUUUGGGGCAGGAAACGGAAAAAAGUUUGACCCGCCCUGAAUCCGUCCCGAAUUCGNUAAAAAAUAUUUCUAAAAAAUAAUAUAUUUACAAAAAAGUUCAAAAUACAAAUAAAUUAGUACUCUCAUUUCUACUAUAUUUGAAACGUUUGAAUUUUGUUUUGAAUUGUGAUUGAUAUUUUUUUAUUUCUAUAAUUAAUAUUAUUAAAUUAUAUAUAUAAUAUUAUUAAAAAUUAUUAAUUUAUAUUUUAUAAAAUAUUAAUAAUAUUAUAAUUUUAUAAAAAAUAUUAGUUGGUGGGGCGGAUUCGGGGCGCCGGCGGGGGGCGGGUUACGAAGCGUGGUGGAUUAUGGGAUGUAUUUUUUAACCCGUCACGGAUUCGGGGCGGAAGGCGGGGCAGAUUUUUGCUAGUCGGGGUGGGAGGCGGGGCGGGUCUCCCGCCCCCAGAUCCGCCCCGUUUGCAUCCCUAUCUACAGCAAAUUUGGUUCGGCUGGAUGAGCCGAAUGAACAAAAGAAGUCAGAAAUUCAGCCAAGGAAUGAGUCGAAUGGCUAAUGCAGCAUAGGAACUGGUCGGCCUAAAGAGCCAAACACUGCCUUCUAUUGAAAGAAAACAGAGAAAGUACAGGAAAGAGGGUUUUAGUCUACAGCGGAGUGAUACCCAAAGGGCAGACAGACUUCAGGAUGCUAAGUUACAGGAACUACUCCUAGAAAAAGCAAUAAAUGCGAGAAGGAAAGAUGCAGGAAAAUAAGGGUGGUCUUUUGUGCGCAGGGGCAAAGACCAUUUUUCAGGGUACAAUAUGCCUAUUUAUAGAGUUGCCCCUGUGUUGGUUAUUGCCCUUGCACGAUCAGCCACUAUCUCUUGGUUUGUAGGACCACCUUCGGCUGAUCGGAACCGCUCGUAACCGCUUGCGGUUGCUAUAACUCCUUGAUCCAGCGCAGCUCAUGUAUCUUCUGGUGCGUCUGAUAUACUCCCGGUCCACCGUUUUAAUCGUAUCAUGGAUAUGGACCCGGCGUGCCCACUGCUCGCGCCGAAUUGGCUCAACAAACCCAAUAUAAUUUUAUCCCAGCUCCAUUUUAUUUAAAACGUCAGAUAAACUUCAAUACCAAAUCAAACCUUAACCAGUGUACAUGUCAUGUUAGCAUCAGCACUUGCACGAUUUUUGUCGCAAUUUAAUGAAUUUUUUGGGGGUGGUAUAUAAUAAUAAAUUCUAAGGUAUCGUUUGGUUCGGGAAUAAGCAAAAAGUGGCUAUUCUAGGGAUAUGUAUAAAUUGAGGUAUAAGCGGGAUUAAAUCAAUUUUAUGUUUGGAUGAAAAUUUGGUUAUUUUUAGGAAUAAAAAAAUAGCGUUUGGUUAGGUAAAAUGGAAUAAGAAUUAAAAUGGGUAGUUAUAAAUAAAAAAUAAUGAUAUUAUCCUUCUCAUUAUAUUUGAAUUUAAAUUUUUAAAUUAUAUAUAGGUUUUUUAAAAAUUUAAAAUUUUAACUGUUAAAAAUUUAAAAUUUUAUUUUACUGGGCCUUUCAAAAUUAGGCAGUUUCAUUCAUUUACCAACUAAAAUUAAAAAUGAAAAAUUAAAGAAUUAAAAAAGAAAAUCUCUAGUAGAGGAGAUGUGCCUGGUCCACAAUCCACAACUCUAGUGGGCUUGGUCCAUGUGGGAUCCCCAAGCCAAUUUCUUUUUUUUUUUAUUAUUUUUUACUUUCAAUUUUCUUAAAAUUAAAAUUUUAUCCAUGUAUUUAUCCCUUUUCCAUUAUUUUUUUGAAUUUUAUAUUUUUUUUUAUUCAUUUAAAGAAAAAUAGAUUGUUGAGUCAAACUUGGUGGGGUGCAGUUGUGGCAUGCUUCUAGGAAGUGCUUUCCAAGACAGCAUGUUAGAGUUUUCUGGUCACACUUCAAAUUUUAAUUUAUUAUUAUAAUUUUUAGUUCAAAUAUUUUGUAUUAUUAUAAUUAAAUUUUAUAAUCCAAUUUUAUUGAAUGAUUAAUACUAUAGCAUUUAAUUAUUUUAACAUCAUCAAUAAUAAUUUUUUAAUAUCACUAUCACAUCAACCACAAAUCAUUAUUUAGUAUAUCAUAUGUCUCAUAAUUAUCUUUUUAUUACCAGAGAAUUUCUUAUGAAAUAUACACAUAAGAAAAUAAUAUUUACAUACAAGCUGUUAGAAUCAGUCCCAUGGAUUCUAAUAAAAUACCUCAAUUUUCUAAAAAGUCUACAUUGGACCACAAAUCCACAAUGCAAUCUAAAAGUCAAUGUUGAAACAGUACUUCUCCCAUUAAAAAGAGAUGGCUUUCACGGGGGAGUAAUUAAGAUGCUCUCUAAAAUAAAAUUUUAGCAUAUAUAAAUCAAUCAGAAUCUUUUUAAUAUAUAUAUAUAUAUAUAUAUAUAUAUAUAUAUAUAUAUAUAGUUGAGCUGGAAUGCUAUCGGUAGUAAUCUGAUUUCGUUGCCAUCUAUUUGUUUUUGAUGAUGGAACUCUUAAAUCAACAUCACUGAUCUAAUGAUCAAAGGGUUUCAAAAUUUAUAAUUUUAAUGAUAGAUAUGAGACGUUUUCUUGUUUAACGGUAUAAAACUAUCCAAAUCAAUUGAAUUUUGGUGAAAAAAUUCUUUAAACUAUUUAGAAUAAGAUCUAUACUCUCGAUCUUGAUUACAAAAUUCCUAUCAUCAUUUUUUAGAGAAUAUUCAUUUUCAGCCGUCAUUUUUACGCCUACUUGAUGGACAAGAGAAUAAUAUCUUAAAAGUAUAAAAUUUGAUUUCUAGAUACUUCAAGUGUUGUAGAUCAUAUUCAACGGUGCCGAUCGUCGAUUUGAAGGCUCCAUCAUAAAAAAUAAAUGGGUGGCAACGGAGCCCGUUUGCAGGAUUCCAGCUCAACUCUCUCUCUCUCUCUCUCUCUAUAUAUAUAUAUAGCUCUAAUAUUAGUCAUAAAAAGCUUCUUCUAUAAUUUGACAUAAUUACAGGAGUUAUAUAGGAAUAAAAAAUCUUAUUUCAAAAUAAGAAGUAAACGAGAUAUUCCAAAUCUAUUUCAACUGCUCACAAUCAAGGCCCCCCCCUCCUUCAAGCAUUCCAUAAGAACUAGCAUGUUAUGUAUAUAAGUGAAAAAAAGAAAAGAGUUCUCAACUUUUAUGAGGUUAUGAUAAAUAAUAUACAAACACUGCUUUAAGAGAAAAAUGAAAAGAUUAACCCCCAAGCAGCUGAAUCUGAGGAAGAAGAAGAAAAAGACAGAUAAGAAGCAGGCAGAAAAUAUGUCCAUUUUUGUACACUUUUCUUGUCACAAUUCCAAGUAAGAAGGUAAACAAAUUCGAGUGUUGAUGCGUAGCUUCGUUGUUUUUCGCCGAUUCGACUAGCUAUUAUUGUGCGCGUCGCUGUUCUUCUUUGUGAGGACUUUAAACCUCCAUGCUCUCUCUCUCUUUUGCGACUUGCACUCUGAUUCCUGUGGAAGCAUGAAUGAUGAAACCAUGUGUAAUUUUGUAGAACGCGCUCAUCAUCUCUAAGCAGUGGGGUGUGGUGAGAAAUAAGAUAGUGCACCCGAGCCAAACAGACCCUUAAUCUCAAUUUAUUCGAGAAAAUAUGGAUAAAUUAAUAAAGCAAAUCUUAUAGACUCAUAUAAAAUAUUGCAGAGAAGAAGGCGAAAAAGACAAAAGAAUAUACAAAAGAAUGUGAAAAAUGUGAAAAGUGAACAUGAAUGUGAAGUUUCCUUGACUCCAUAUCCUACAGUCAGUAUGGAAAUCACAUGUUCUUUCUUGUCAAUAAAAAUAUGCUUUGAUCUUCAUCAAUUCAGAGUUUCCAUGACAGCUUGUUUGGAAUCAGUUAAGAGGAAUUGAAUUGAUUUCUAAGGACUUGGUGUUAAUUUCUAUAAUAUGACCAAAUUUCAAUCAUAGGUUAGAUUCGCGAGAAUUCAUUUGUCGUUAAUUAUAAUAUAUACGCAAGCCCCAAAAUACUACUUCUCGAAAUAGUUAUAUUAGCUUUCCGCUAAUUAACAAUGGAUGUAUUAGGAAAAGUAGAAUGAAAUUGAAUACAACUUCAAUUUCUUUCAAACAGAAACAUUCAUUUCUAAUUAGAUUGAAUUAAUUGAAUUCUGCUGAACUUCAGUCAAAUGAAUUAUAUCGAAAUCUGAUUCCAAACAUGUUAGCAGAAUUUCAGAAGAGCUCACAUCACAAUCAUCAUGUAAACACACAAAUUUUCUAAUAUAAAUGGAGCUUCGACAAUUGGAAACAUCAGCUUAAUACCUCAUCUGUCUUCAAGGUUUUCGCGCACUCCUCUUGUCGAUGAGAGUUAUCUUUUCCCUUCGCGCCGUCGGGUUUAUCUGCAUUAAUCCGCAAUCGCACAUGAUUGUCCAUUGAAGGAUUUAAUUACCAACUUGUUCAAAGAAUUCAAGGAGGAUGUUGAAGAGCUAGAGUCAUGAAAUCACAUUUGUGCUACUGAUUUAAAAUGAAAUUUUCUUUGAUUUCUCCAUAUUUGUUUAAAAAAUGAACAAGCAAAGAAAAAAAAAUUAUGAAAAGUAAAACAAAAGUUUAAAAUGUGCAAAUCUUACCUAAAGUAUGGCACAAUUUAAUUUGAUUUCUUUUUUUUUCUAUCUAACCUUAAAAAAAUUUUCUUUUUCUUAAAAAUUCUCAGAAACUUUUAUCAAAUUCUGCUAGAAUUUAACAAUUUCCAUAGAAAAACUUUAGAAAAUUCAACUUAACAGAAUAAUAUUUAAUUAGAUUACACACACACACACAAAAUCUACCAAAAAGGUAAAAAAUAGUGUUAAAUUUUGAUAGGGGCAUUACUAAAUCAAACAUUCUUUAAUAAAUUUAAAACUUUUAAUAUUUUGAUAUCCAUUUCAAAAUGCAGCAUCGUUAACUACACUGCCUACAUUACUAUCAAAUUAGUAAAAAUUACAAAAGCAUACACAUUUUCGAUUUCUAAAUUUAUUCCUUUUACCGGAUUAUAAUUACUUAAAGAGAAUUAACGAUGCGAAUUGUAUAAUAAAUCCAAUAAAAUAUUAAAAUGCAAAUAAAUGUAACGGAAAAGGUCACCAUCGUCGUUACCUUUCCCGUUCUCUGACUCGGCGGAGUCGUCGUCGUCUCCAUUACCCGAUCCCGUUAACGGCGUCGUCUUGAAGUAAAACCUGAAGCUCGGGGAUCUAGGUAGAUCGUCCUCUUCCUCCGCCGCCCCUCUCCUCCGAUGCCCCACAAACCCUAACCCUAGCCCUAACCCCGACCCUCUCCUCUCCUCUCCCUCCGCGUCCCCCUUCGUCCCUUCCGUCUCCGGCGACUCCGCCUCGCCUCCCUCAUCGGGCUCCUCGGGGAGGCGGAGGAGCUCGGCAGCGGCGACGAAGCCUCCCUUCCGACCCGAAACGUCGGCGCCCCGGGGGCGGCGCCCGCUNGCUCGUCCCGGCCCCGGCCGCGGCCGCCGCGGCGUCCUCGUCGUCCGGUUCGAGCUUGGACCGGGUGCACCCCAUGGAGAGCUUGGCCCGAGCUUCGACAGAGAGAAUGGGGGAACAGAGUGGGGUUGGAGGAGGAGGAGGAGGAGGAGGAGGAGGUUAGAGUUGGGAAUGGAAAGGGAGAGGUUAGGGUUAGGGUUAGGGUUAGGGUUAGGGUUUGGAUGAGGGGGAGGAGGAGCGGAGAUUGCGGGGGACAUCGCAAGGAGAGGUGUCGGAGGAGACGAGGGGUUCGGGAGAAAUGAACGUUGGAGUUGUUAGAAUUUGAAGAGUCUAAAAAAGAGAGACGCGGUUAUGUGGACCGGACAUGCCACGUCGUCCGUAGACCGGUUAUAUGCAACAAAUACAGCAACAACAUCAUACUAGUUUGAAAAUGGAAUAGUAGUGAGAUAUUUAAUAAUAACUUAUUCCAUAUAAUAUUUUUAAUAGAAAGUUUGAAAUAUGAAUUUUAGUAAAAUGUAUAGAACUUCUCUGAAUUAUACAGUAUUUUGAUCUACUGUUAAAUUCUUUAAAAUUUCAAUUUGUUUAAUUUAAUUUAUUCAAUGAUGCUUCAAAUUCAAAAUUUGAGUUAGUUAUUAGUGGUUUAAAGUGGCCAGCAUCCUGUCUUAUGGCGGAAUGUUAGGUUUGAUCGAGUUAUGUUCGAAAUGACAUGAGAGUGGGUUUGGCCGAGUCAUGUUCGAAAUGACAUAAAGCUGGUUGGGCCGAAUCACAGUCGAGACUAAUAAGCUCUGUAUUUUUACGCUUUAAGGGAAUUGGUUUCAUAUUUCUAAUGGUUCGAACUUUUGAAAUUAAUAGUUGGUGUCAACAAUCUAACAAGUGGUAUCAGAACCAGAGGUUUAAUUCCCACAUGCUGCAAAUUUGUACAUGUCCUUCCAUGUGGCGGGGGUCAGGUUUGGCCGAGUUAUUUACUUUAAUAAAUUUAUAGUUACAUGAAUUGAAUUUUAAAGUUAAAAAGUCAUUAGCUUAUUCAAAUUAAAUAAAUUAAAAAGUUAAGUAGUAAAGAAAUACAGUUGAGGUAAGUUUAAUACAGUUUUUCCUAAUUUUUAACUUUGUAAAAAAUUUUAGCAUUCGUGUUUUGAUAUAUUAGUAUAUUUCACCUAUGAACUGAUUUAUUUUAGUUUGAAAUAAAGGCUAAAGAUAAAGAUAUAAUUAUAUUUAUUCUAAAUAUUUGUUCACACUUAUUAUCUAUGAAAUACAAUAUACUUCUCAAGUAUAUUCAAGGAUAAAUGGAAUAAGAUAAAGUGGUCUUCUUUGUCACAAUUAUUUCAUAUUUGAAUAACAAUGUUCAAUUGGGGACCUCCGUGUAGCAUAAAACUAUAGAAAUAUUUUACUUUUAUAAUAUAAUUUCAAUAUGAAUUUACUAUAUUGUUUAGAGUAUAUUUCUCCAAAUGUUGUUGUUUUAUGACCCUGUUUGGAUGUUAGAAAUGUUAUAAAAAAUAUUAUAUAUUAAAACAAGUGUCCCACAAUAUUACCUUUCUAUAUAUUAUUAUUAUUAAUGUAUUGGUAAAUUCAUAUAGUAUUUUAAAGUGUCUGCAUAAACCAUCCAAAAAAAGCUUUUAUGCUAAGUGCCAACAUGCCAAUAUCAUAAUUAAAAAUAAAAAAGGUAGUGAGAUUCUUUUCGGCUAAAGAUCUCUCUUCCAAAGUGAGAUUCUUAUAAAGUAGUCGAAUUAAUGUCUCCAAUGUUGAUAAAAAAACAAAUCAUUAAAUGAUUGAUACUACUCAUCUUUAUUGUUCCCAAAAAAAGAAAAAAAAAAAGAAAAAAUAAGUCACCAUGUUGAAUAAAAGCUUCAAAUCAUACUCAUUUGGAACACAUAUAUAUUUGCAAUAGAAAAUUCUCCACAACAUGCAUGUAGUUCUUAGUAGUGAUCCACAUUGUAACAAAAUACAUAGCUUUAAAUAGGAGGAGACACUCUUAUGUUUAUAUAUAUAUCAAACCGAUAAUAUAUAUAGCAUUAUUGUAUCAUUCAAAAGUUGAAUUGGCUCAGUAGGAAACAAGCUCAGAAAUAUAUAUUAUCAUUUUAGUAGGUGUCGAACAUUGGCUCCGCGACCUGACCGGCGGCGGGUUCUGCCACCUUCCACACCUUGACGGACUUGUCCAGACUUCCGCUGUACACCACCCACCGCCUACGCGCUCCACCGCAGUCUUCCUCGCCUUCUUUCCCGUCGGCGGCGUCCGCCUGCACUGCCAGGCACUUCACGGGGCCGGUGUGCGCCGUCAGCACGGAGAGGCACGAAUGCGCUCCGGUCUCCUCCUCUCUUCGCCACACGCAUAUCGUCUUGUCCGCGGACCCGCUGAACAGCAGAUUGCUGCCUGCUCCUGCUGCUGCCAGGCACAAGACUGCCGCCGCGUGCCCGCGGAGCGUCCCGCAGUGCUCCAGCCUCCUCCCCCAGUCCCAGCAGUUCACGACCCCGUCCGACGACCCCGCGUACACGACGCCUGCGUCGACGUUGAUCGACAACGCCGUCACCGCGCUGUCCUGCUUCAUCAGCGUCUUCUCCGCCGCGUGACCGGUCACGCUCUCCUUCUUCGCCGUCGUCGUCUCUCGCCGCCAAACUUUGACGGUCCCGUCCGCAGAGCCCGAGAAGACGAGGCCCUUGAACGCGGCGACCACCGCGUUGACGGCGUCGUCAUGGGCGUCGAUCGAGUCGACGCACUGCGAGUCGGCGAUCCGCCAUGCCUUGAUCGUCCGGUCCCACGAGCCGGAGUAGAGCAGGGACUCGUCCUCGCUGAGGCAGAGGCAGGAGACGGCGUCCGUGUGGCGAAUCCGAACAGCGCCGCCUCGGCGGCGGCGCCGAGCGGCGGACGGGUGGAAUGAGGCCUUCAGCAGGUCCUUGAGGCGGGGAAGGGUGGAGACGCGCUUGUGCGUCGCGGGGUCCUUCGGCGACGGCGCCCACACGCGGAUUUUCCCGUCCUGGUGGCCGGAGAACACGCGGUGACCGUUGGCCGAGAGGACGAUCGCCUUCACGAGGCCGCUGCUGGACUUGAAGCCGGAGAAUUCGCGCCGGUCGCGCCACACGCGUAUGUUCUUGCUGUCGGAGCCGGUGUAGAGAAGGCCCCGCGCGCCCGCCGCGAGAGAGUAGAUGUGGCCCUCCUCUCGAACUAAGGAGCCGACGAGGCCGGUGCCCGACGGGAAGAGAUCGGCGGUGGCGGUGGCGGUGUUGGCGGAUUGCUCGUGGUGGUGCCAGGGGGAGGAGCUGAAGGGCGAGGAGGCGGCGGAGUGCUGGGUGUUGCUGCUGGCGGCGGAGGAGGUGGUGCGGUCGGAAAGGUAGCCGCCGGGGCUGGUGGCAGCGGAGGCGCUGCUGUGGCGGGACGUCGAAACGAAGUCCUCGUCGCUCGUCGACUUGAUCAGGGGGUCCGAGUGCGUCAGCGCGGAGUAUUUCGUCCCCGGUAUCGGCAGCCCGACGGCCGCGUCCGUGAACAGCGGCCGGCCGCGGCGGCUGCCGUCUUCGCGGCCGCCGAUGCUGCUUCUUUCUCUCAUCUGUUAGAUACCUAAAAUUUUCCUGCAGGUAGGUGGAAGGAAGAGAGAUGAGAGCAUGAGAUUUAAUUGAAAUUGAAAGGAAAGUUGCAUUGCAAAGGAAAUUUGAGGGAAGGCAGGAGAUGGGUGACAAAUGUGGGGAGGAGAGAGGGAGCAGGAAGUUAGUAAUAGGGAGGGAAGACCGGCCUGCCUGCCGCUCGACAAAAACGGUUUGUCAGUUCCCAUUUUGAAAUGCAGUUGGAGAGCAUUGGUUGUUGCUUUCUUUACCAUUGCAUUGCAUGGUCAACAUUACGACUAUCAUUCCAGCUCGCUGUUCGCGAGCCGGUUCGUGUACGGAUUAAAAAUGAGCUCGAGAUUCAUCACUUGCUUGAUAAAUGAGUCGAAUUCAAGUUGAAACCUAAAUACAAAGAGAAUUAUAUUUUAUAAAUUUUAAUUAUUAGAUAAGAUUCUAAUUUUCUAAUUGUCUUCUAAUUUUUUACCAAACAUGAACUAGGCUGGACUAGGCUGGAAUACUAUCAAUAGCACGAAUAGUAGACUAAGCUGGAAUACUAUCAAUAGCACCAAACUAUUGGUGGUGCUAUUAGUUUUUUAACCAUUUAAUUGAGAAAUGUGUGGUUAGGAUGAAGUGGACCCUCUAGGGUUGCCCACUAGCAAUAAUAACAUUCAUAUUCAAUAUGAGAUUAUUCACACUUCUUGCUGGUGAACUGAUUUUGAUACCAAAUGUAACGACCCAGCCCACUGGCAACAAUAACUCGUUCGGCCUAAAUAUCGGUCAAAUGUAACGACUCAGCCUACUAGGGACAAUAACUCGUUGGGCCCAACCAACGGCCCAAAAUGCUUAAAUCUAGUUAUUAUUACUAGUGUCUAAGUCUCUUAUAUACCGAAAAUCAUAUCCUCAUUCAUAUCCGAUGUGGAAUUAUUAGGGUGUGACAGUUGAGUGAGUAGUUGGUUGAAUAGUAUAAUCUAAAGGGUAAAAAUAAUCAAAGGGUUAAAUCUAAUGAUGGAAAACUCGAUAGUACCAAAUUCUUAAUGCUAUCGAUAGUAUCCCAGCCGGACUCCUAGAAACAUUAACAUAGUUUCAAACUCAAAGAUGACAAGGGCCCAGCUGAAAUGCUUUUGAAAGUAAAAUGGAGAGUUUACUUUCAUGCCGUUUUGUGCAACGGAAAAUUCAAAUUAACGAACUAUACUGGUAAACUUUUAUCUACAUUAUUUGAAUUUUUUAGAUUUCAAAUUUUAUGAUUUUAUGAUAUUAUUUGCUGAGCAUUCAAAUGGUCUUGAAAUUAAAAAAUUUUAAUUGCUAAUAUAAGGCAAGUGAUAUUCUAAAGAUUGUAAAAUUUGAAAAUUUAUGAAGUUCAAGUAGUCUAGAUUAAGUAAGACGGUGUAGGUUAUUAAUUCGGAUUUUUUUCACCGAAAAAGAUGCGAAACUAAACUCUCCCCUUUAUAUUAUAGAAGUAUUCUAGCAAAAUUCAUAUUUGUAUUAAAUAUUACUGGCAUAGCCUUGGAAUUUUUAAUCCAAUCAUUUAUAUUUUUAAAUAUUUCACUACAUUACAAUUGCAUACUAUUUCAGUAAUAUUUUUGAAUAUUUCAGUUUGUGAAUCAUUUCCAUGAAAUAACCAUUUAAUCCUAUUUCACUUAAACCAAAGAAAAAAAAUAAUUUGCUGGAAAAGUUUUUUACUUUAUAGAUAAAAAAAAAAAUCACCUGUCAAAAACGUUAAACUAAAAAAUUUAGUUAAAAGUAAAAAAAUUUAGGGAGUAAGUCGCAAAAAUUUAUAUUGUACAGGGACUAAGUCGCAAUUUUCAUCGGCAAGGGCUAAUCGGGUCUUUUACAAUGUACCUUUCGACUAUAAGCCCUUCUAGGGUUUCAUUCGCCCAUCUCUCUAUCUAGGGUUUUUCUAGGGUUCUUAUAAACCCAGCCACUUCUCGAGGUCUAAUCCACGAACUCUUCCCCCUCUCUCAAAUCUGAUCGCGAUUUCACGCAGAGCCCCAUCAUUUGAACCGGAAAUUUACGAUUUUUAGUAGUAUCUCGUCGAUUUCUUUUUUCACGCAUUAUAAUCCCUUGUUUUGCCCUCUUAUUGUAUGAUUCAUAGCGUUGUUUACUGUUUUUGGUUGUUUAUCAUUUUUUGUAGUAAAUGUUUGAGAUUAUGUUGAUUCAGAGUGAAUUUUUACUGUGAAUCAGGAAAUGGAAAAAGGGCUAGUUUUUACUGGGAGUGGUUUCAAAACUCUUAAUGUAGCAAUUUUUUUUCUGGAGAUUUUUUCUAGAUUUAUCAUCAUCUCGAUUUUUGGUGCAUUUAUCAAGUUUUAGCCUUAGGUUAUAAGGCUCAUAGGUUACUAUAUUGAUUUAGGAUUACAUUAUAUCAAUGAGAAUUGGAAAAUGGUUAUCUUUGGAUAUUGUAGUAUUAGGAGAUCCAUACGAUUUGGGAAAAAUACAACAUUUGGUAGUUUGAUGAAACUUGGUCUAAUUCUAUUAUUGUUUUCAUUUUUGGGUGGUUUGCUAUUUCCCCCCCUUCUUACAGCUUAGUACCAAAUUCUAUGAAUGAAAAUUAAUAUAGGAACUAAAUUUUUCUACACUCUAGCAAUUCCUGUGCUCUUUAUCUUUUUCCACGAUUUUGUUUAUUUGUGUGUUUUGGAUUUAUGCUAGAAUGGGUUGAUGAACAUAUUGCUAUAAUGCAGCAUCCUUUGAUGCAAUGUGCAUUUCUUUUCCACACGAGAUUUCUGACCAUUCAAGCAGAUUUCAAUAAAUUCAUUUAGAUUAUUAUGAUUCUUCAUCUGUUUGUUAAUUUUCUUAACGUAUAUUUGAUUAACUGUAAUUCGAUAGCUAGUUUUCUUUAAAUUUAUAAAUGAUGCUAUCCGAAUUGAUUUAGUUCUUCAGCAUUCAAGAUCAGUAUCAGUGUGCGAAGGAUACGGAAGGAGUUAAGAAAUAUAUCUUCCGCCUAUCAUUUUCUUUGUAGUAGUUUUUCUCUGUUCUUUGUGAUGUUUCAGAUAUGUUAGAAUGGAAUGACGAAUACAUUGCUCUGAGCGCAGCAUCUUCUGAUGCGAUGUGCGUAAACUUUCCACACGAGAUUUCUGACCAUUCAACUAUUUGAAUUUGUGUGAAUAUUGAUUUUAAAUUUCAUUUAUUGCACUCUCGAAUUCGGUAAGUUAUAUUCUGCUUCUGAGUGAAAUUUUGGUAUUUAUAUAAUCAGAGGAGGUCUCACUCUUGCUUAGAAAAGGUACGGUGAAUUCAGUAAUUGUUCUCAGAAGAAACUCAGUUAAAUUAUAUCUGUCAUGUUCAAUGUUUCUGCUCUGUUAAUAACAAAAUCUACUAUGUUCAUGAAGCAUUUACAUGCCAUAUUCCUUUCCGACGUUCCACCCGUUUCAAUUUUGUUUUAACCCUUUUCCCUAUUUUUGACGCAUUACACUUUCUGAUGCAUUACAUUGCUGUUGCCGAACAUUCUUUCAUUUAAUGCGAUUUUGGAUCCACGCGAAAUUCCUUACCUUUUAAACACUCGCUAGAUGUUUCCUUUCGAAAAGUGGUGAUGAAAACAUAGAAGUUAAAUCAAAUCAAUGUAUGAAUGUAAUCUGAUCCUCUCAUAAAUUAGUAGCAAAUUAUUGUUUCUAAAUCGCAUCUUUUCGACCUGUUUAUAUCUUCAUCCUUUGGAUUUCAUUUCUCCUUGAUCAAUUGAGUUGGCAUAUAUACUUCUCUCAACUGUUUUUGCUUUCUUUGUUUGAUAACAAAGAUGAGUUGAUUUGCUCAAGUGAGUCCAAAUAGGCUAAGUAGUAUGGGCUGGGCCUGAGCUUAUUUGCGAGCAUUUGUUUAACUGUUAAUUACGACAACGCCGAGGAGAUCUGCAGAUCUUUCCGUAAAAGGCAACUUCAACUUCGAUCGUGUCGACACAUCUCCUCAGCAUUGUCGUGGUAAACAGCGAAACUAAUGUUUCGACUCUUACUAAACCUGUUAGUGAUAGACAUGUGAAAACGAUGAGCUUUGGUUUAGUCAUUGAAACUUGAAAGUGACACAAAUAUCAAAACCAAGAUCAAUAAUUCUUUUGUUGAGAUGUCUAAAUCCUCAGUGGAUGCACUACUACAUUAGGGACCCACUUGAAUUAAUAAGAGUUAGAUUACAGAGUAAAAUAUCCUGGCGAAAAUCAAGGAAUAGGAUCAAUCUAAGAUAUUGACAUAUUUUUGUCCUAUUCUGAUUUUCAGAAACAUAAUUACAUUUAUUCCCAUUAGGGGGUGUGUUAUUUUUUUAUUUUUUAAUUUUUAGUUUUCCUUUGUGGGCCUAGAUGGGGUUUGCCUUCUGGUAUUUGAUUUAUUGUAAUUUUACUUUCAGUCGAAACUCGAAAUUCGCCAAGUUUGCAGGAAAAAAAAAAAGUAAAAAAACACAAAUAAUAAAAUAUUAACAUAUCUUCUUUUUUCUAGUUUUUAUAUUAUUUACUUUUACCAAAUAAAUAUCAGAAUUGAAAAAACUUCAGUUCUACAGCUGUAUAAAUAAAUAGUAAAAGAAAAAUAAUUUUCAACUGAACUCUUAUUCACUGAAAAGUUUAUUUCAAUUUUGAAUUUUACCUUCGGUGAAACAAUCAUGUCCUAAAUAAAACUCUUCGAAUGAGUUGCGAGCGUGCUUAUAUAAAUUUUUUUUGACAGUUUUAAAUAAGAGCUUCUGCUAUUAGCGUUCAAUAACACUUCAUUUGUUGAUAGCUUUAGAUUCUUCAUGUUUGAAGCUGUUUUAGAAGUCAAAUCAAACGCUACGGAAUUUUCUGUUUACAUAUAAUCCCUUGUUGCGUUUGAGUACGAAAAAUUUUAUAAAAAAUACUAUAUGUACUUAUCAUAUAAUGGGGUGUACUUAUCAUAUAAUGGUGUACAUUUUAUAAGACUAGUGAAAAUAGAAAUUUUUUUAUAAGACUAGUGAACUAAUCCUUUUCAUAAAAAAUUUUGGGUGUACAGGGCCUAUUGGUUUAAAGAAAAUGGAAGAAAUAAUUCUUUAAAAUUUUGAUUUUCUUAUUUAACUUCAAUUUUUUAAAUUUGAUUCACUCAACACCGCUCUGAUUUUAUGAUCUGAAUGUUUUGUUUAUUUUUACACUUCAAUGCAAUUUUUUGCGAUUAUAAAUUUAUUAAAGUAAUAAGUUUAAAAUUUGAAGGCAAAAUAUCGCGGACUAACUUAAAUUAAACAAAUUGAAAUGUUAGAUAGUAAAAUUAAUAUUUUUAAAGAUCGGACAGGAGUCAAAAUGAUCUGUAGUUUUAAUAAAUUUUCUACGUUUUUACCAAUUUUUAAUGUAAACAGAACUAUUGCGACAUGCGCAUGCAUCUUUACCUAUUGUAUUUGUAAAUAUUUUUAAUAAAUCAGCAUUUCUAUAUUGCUGUUGGAUCAAACCAAAUUUAAAAUUUUAAUCCAAUAAAUUGUUACGGCGUAGCACGAUUAACUCAUUAAGAACAUUUUACAACAUUUUGAGUUAUUUGUACAUUUGGAUUGCGGAUAAAGGGUGGAAUAAUCCUUUAUCCCUUUUAUACCCAAACGCUAGUGGAUAUCUAAAAUAAGCUAGUAUAACUAUCCCCACCAGCACCUCCAUUUUCUAUAUAUAAAUACCCACUAUUUUUCUUAUUCCAUAUUAUCUAUCUAAACACUAUUUUUCUUAUUUCCUGGAACAAUCCAAAUUUUAUCCAAACACUUUUUUUUAUCCUCAUAUUUGUAUCUAUCUCUGUAAUAGCUAGUUCUUGCUUAAUUAUACUCGAACCAAACGGUGGAAAAUGUUAAGAACAUAUAUAUACUAACUAAUCUAAAUGUUUAAAAUAUAAGCAAUCACAUUUUAUGCUUAAAUUAACAUAAAGAUUACAAACCAAAACCAACAUUAAUUUUCUCCCUUGCUCAGAGAUUUAGGGGAAAAAAAAGGUACUAAACACUACCUAGUUUUAGGAAUCUAGAUUACCUCGAAACUUUUUAAUUAAUUAACAAAAUCCUGUUUAAUAAGUAUAAGUUCAAAGUGGCAUGUGAUCAAUACUAAGAAGUGGUACUAAUUAAUAAAAAGCCUGGUUAAAGAGAAAUAAUUAACAAAUUGUCGAUUGAUCUUAAUUAAUUGAAAAUGCUGUAGUUUCUCUCUCUAGAUCUCGCUUGGUCGGUAUUUAAGACAAAAAGGAAGAGUUUAACACAAAAACCAUAAUUUAGGAUUAACCACCACAUGCAUAAUGUACAAUUCAUGAGGAGGGGCAAAGUAAUUAAUCAUAUAUAGAAGCUAAUUGUGAUGUAGGUAAGUGUUUAUUGUUAAGUUAUUUAAUUUGCACCAUUUUCUUAUGAUGAUUAGGACUUGUAUAGAGUGAAAAAAAAAAAAAAAAAAUCCUAGGUAUCAGAGCAAAGAGGUCCUGUAUAAUAGUAGCUUAAUUUUAAGGUUAUUUAGAGUAAUCGAAGCUCAAUUUCGCAUUGCAUAUCAUUCGAGUAAAGAGUUAUUUGAAAAGAGUUAAGAAUAGAAACUUCAAUUAGUUAGAGGUUUUGCAUUUGGAGUUCAGAAACCCAUUUUGGGUUCUCGCCACAACCAAAAGCUCUAGCCUAAUAAUUUCUUCUAUAAUUUGAAUUUUAACGGUCGACUCGUACUCAAAUCAAAUUAAAUUACUGUGCACUCUCUAAAAACUUUAAGCUUUUAAAAGAAAAUUAGUAAUUCAAAUUCAUUUAUGAAAGGAAUAAUAGUCCUUUAUAUAUGUAAAUAACUUGGAUUCAACUUGUAAUAUUUGGAGCUUAAUUAUGAAACCCUAAGAAGUAAUUCUAAUGCUACAAAUGGAUCUGGUAAAGUUGCAUGUCCUUCAAAAGAAUCUUCAAAAGAAUAAAGCUGCCAUUAAUUAAAGCUCUUGACAACAAAAAAUACAAAAAAAAAAAACCUUUUAAUUAAGUAAUUUGUACUAGGAUGAUUCUCACUUGGUCAUGCUAUUUAUGCUGAUGUAAAAUUGAGAAUCAUAUGUACAUACACACACACACAUAUAUAUAUAUAUAUAUAUAUAUAUAUAUAUAUAUAGACUAGGCUACUAUACUAUCGUAGCACGGAGCACUCCGUGCUACCAGUUGUUUUCGAUGAUGUGGCUUCCAAAUCGACGAUCGGCUCCGUAGAGUUGAUCUACACUAUUGAAAGUAUUUAGAAACUAAAUUUCAUAAUUUUCGAUAUCAUUUACCUAUCAAACAAGUAGUCUAAAAUUGAACGGCUGAAAAUAAAAAUCUCAUAAAAAAUGAUGAUAAAAGAUUUAAAUUCAAGAUCAGAUAUACUGAUCUUAUUCUAAAUAGUGAAAAGAAUUUUCUAUAAAAUUUUCAUCGCAUUUGGAUUGUUUUACACCGUUAAACUCACAAAACACACCACAUCGGCCAUUAAAAUUGUCAAUUUUGAGAUCUUUUGAUCAUAGUCAAAUGAUGUCGAAAAAAUUUGAAAUUUAGUUUCUAAAUACUUUCAAUAGUGUAGAUCAAGUCUAACGGAGCGGAUCGUCGAUUUGGAAGCCGCAUCAUCGAAAAUAACUUGGUAGCACGGAGCGCUCCGUGCUACCGAUGCAAUAGCCGGACUCUAUAUAUAUAUAUAUAUAUAUAUCCCUUUACCCCGAUACGACAAAGAAUAUAUAUUAGUGUUGUUCAUUAUAUAAGUACUCAAAUUCAAUCGAGAAAUUACUCAUUUUAAUUCGAUUUAAUUCUAUUAAAGUCAUCGAGAAAGAAAAGAAGCAUUCGCGCAUAUAUAUAUAUAUAAUAUAUAUUAUAUAUAUAUAUAUAUAUAUAUAUAUAUAUAUAUAUAUAUAUAUAUAUAUAGAAUAUAUAUAUAUAUGACCGUGUUUUUUCUUUUUCUUUCUUAAUAAAGUAGAACACAAAAUUAAUGUUGAAUUUUAGUAGUAAUUGUUUGAAUAGGAGAGAAAAUAUUGGGAACAUAAAAAUUUGAUCAAAUGUGAAGUGUAAGAAUUAAUAUCCUUGGUCCAUUAUCUUUGAUUAAUUAAUUUGUGUAACAUGAGUUCUAUCCAGCUAUAUAUGUAGUUAUUUUUCCUCACACUUCCAUAAAUCCUGCUAUAUACGUCUAAUUAUAGCUUUAGGAUUCAAUUAAACAAACCAAAUCUCUUAAGAAAUGAAUAGAAUUGUAUAUGAGGAGGACCUGGAAAAAGACACAAGAGAACAAAAGCAACCUAGCUUUGUAGGUUUUUGCUUUUGUCUCACAUUUGCUUUUCAUAACAGCAAAGCCUAAUUAAGCUUCAACACCAAGAAAUAUAUUAUGAAAAAAAAAAACAAAACAAAACUCACAAGGAAAAAUUAAGAUGUAUAUGUUCAUGUAUAAAUGAAAAACUACCUUGAUUUAAUUACUUUCACAUAUAUAUAUAUAUAAAUAUCUUGUAAUUAUAAGCUAGUUAAUUUGUAAGCAAACAAUGUAAAAUGAGGGUUACAAAUAAGUAAUAAGUGAUAGGUUAAUUAAUUUUGUACACACACACACACACUCAUAUAUAUGUAAAUAUAUAACUAUUUUCUUCAUUGAUCUUAAGUUUUUUAAAAUGUUAUAACAUUUAAAAUAUCACACAUAUGAGAACAUUCUUAUCAAUAUGCUUCUAAAGUUUAUUCCCCUCAAAACUGAAAUUAAUAUAUAUACAAGAGAGGCCAACAUUUAAGUGCUCAAAAUUAAUUAAGUUUUGCCCAAAAUCACAUAUAAUAUUACUUUCCAUACGUAUUGAUUAUAUAUAUAUAACACUUUACGUACCCGGCCACUUAAAAAAAAAGGGAAACCAUUUCAAAAACCAUCCCCCUGUAGUUUCUGCAUUCUUGAUUUGCCUACCGCUGUGGUUGAACGUAUCAUUUUAUCUCGCUGUGUUCAUUUUUAUUUCUUAUUCGAGCUUUCGUUAAUAGUUCGUUUAAAUUAUAUACAAAAUAACUUCAGAAACCAUCUUAUUAUCUUAUCGAAUCAUCCUUAUAACCUUUAAUUUAAACUUUGUCACCGAUUUUUAAAAAUAAUAUAAAAGAUAAAAAAGAUAAAAACUAAAGUCCACAGGCGUGGGCAAAUGAUAGUUUUAUAACACAUAAAAAAAAAAAAAUGAAAUGCAAUUGAAACGCAAGGGGUUUUGAAGUUUCCCCAAAAAAAAAACUUACAAUAGCUUUGUUAUGAGGAUAUAUAUAUAUAAGGUUAUUUAUUUUUCCUUCUGGCUCUUAUAAUUAUUACACUUACAGUACUUAUGACUCACAUAUGAAUAAGCUAGAAUGAAGCAUUCCAUUAAAAGUCUCCAUUAAUCUAUCGCGCACGUUAUACUACACUUUUAUAAAUUCAAAGAUAUGUAUAAAAUCAUUAUAUACAAGAGAGUAGCCAAAUACAAACAUAAUUAACGUGUCUAUAAAUAUACAAAAAAUACAUACGGAAUAAUAAAAAAUGAGAAAUAAAAGAACGAAAAGUUAACAUAUUCAUGAGAAGACAUCAAAUAAACGAUCUCUUAGUAUCUUAUAUAGUACUAGUUGAAUGUACGUACAUACACUGCACAGUAAUAAUUUAUAGAUUUAUUUCAAAUUAAUAUAAUUGUACAUAUUAUAUGCAAAUUUUACAAUAAAAAUAUUAUAAAUUAAUGUGUUAUAUUUUAUUAGAAAAUUAUUUAUAAUAUCCUAUAAAAGCCCGGGUCUUUUAUUAGAUACUAACCACAAUAUUAUAUACUUUUUAUUUGAUACUCAACAUUUAAAUAUGUAUUCUUAAAACUAAAAGCAUCAAAAUUUAUUUCACCAUUUUAAUUAAAACCUUAAAAUAUAAUAUUUGAUCCACUGGACAUAAAAAAAUUAAAUUAUUAUCAAAAUUUGAUAUCAAAAAUUAAAUUUACAUAUAAUCAAUAAACUCAAAUUAAUUUAAUUCUAAAAAUAGACUUAAAAAAUAACUAUUUUUUAACAAAUGAUUAAACUGUUGUUUAUAUUUGAUAUUAUAAAAAAAAAAUAUAGAUAAAUAACGAUAACAUAAAAUGAAUUUAUAGAUAAUGCAAUAAAGAUUAUAACUAUUUUUAAUAAAUAUUAACAAAAUAUAAGUCAUAUAAAAAUUAAUAAAAGAAAACAAUUUUAUAUAUUAAGUGUAGAAAUUUAAUAGAUUGACAUAACCUUCGUGUUUAUUUGACAUAUUUUUAACAAUUUAAUCAAUAAUCAUCUCGUUAUCGUGGAAUAUUAUUUUAUAUUAAUAGAUUGAUCAAACCAUUAAUUUUUAUUUGAGACAAAAUAUAAUAAAAAAUAAAAAAUGCAUUAAAAAAAAUAAAAAAGAAAUUAUUUUCCUUUUGAAUUCCGUCCGUCAUUAUCGAAUUUCUAUAAACCUUUAUAUAUAAUAGAUAAUGAAAAAUAACCGUUGUCCUCUAUAUAACACAUAUUAGAUUCCACGAAAAAAAAUAAUAACUGUGUAUUUUAAAAUAUAUAUAUAUUAUUAUAUAAUAUAUAUAUAUAGGUUGACUACGAAUACUCUCCGAGAGUAACAUGCCCAUUUUACUCCACUCGAGUUGCUUUUUCUGAUGAUCAAGCUUGGCCAAAUUGACGAUCGGGUGUCUUCCGGUUGAAACUGAUCUAUACCACUUGAAGUGUUUAAGAAAUCAAUUUCAAAUCUUUUUCACGAUUCAUCAUUUGCAUUCUCGUUUCUCUUUGGGUGUGGUGGUAGUUUCUUUGUGUCUGUCGGUAAUAAUCAAAAGGGUUCAAAAUUGAAUUUAAUGUGAUUAGUAGACCGUUUUCAUACGUUUAAAGUGUAAAUUAUCCCAAAUCAUUGAAUUUUUGUGUAGAAAAUUCUUUAAAACUAUUUAAAACAAAUCUAUACUCUUAUCUUGAAUUACAAGUACUCUAUCAUCAUUUUUUUCAAAGAAUAUUCAUUUUCAGCCGUUCAUUUUUUCUGUUACUAGAUGGAUAUAAAACAAUAUCGAAAGUAGCGUGAACAAUCUGAUUUCUUAUGAUAGUUUACAAUGUUUAGAUCAUAUUUAAACGAGGCCGAUCGUUCAAUUGGAAGCAUCUAUUCAUUCGAAACAGACUCGAGAUAAAACGACCGUUACUCCGAGAGGAUUCUAGCUCAAUCUAUAUAUAUAUAUUAUAUAAUAUAUAUAAUAUAAUAUAUAUAAAUUAAUAUAUGUAUCGACACGAGAUAAUUACUAUACUAUUUUAGGGUAUUCAAAUCAACAAUCGAUACCGUUAAAUAUAACCUAGUGUAUAUGAAGUUUUUUGAAAUAAAAUUUUAAUUUUUUUCGACAUCGUUUACUUAGUAAGUAAAUCAUUUUUUUAAAAAAGGUAUAAUAAUAGAAUGAUCUUUAAAAUUCGAGAAUAAAGCUUUUAAAUUCAUAAUUAAGGAUGUUGAUCUUGAUCUAGAUCGUUUAAAGUAUUAAAAUUUGAAUAAAUUUAUAUUCUUUUACACCGUUACAUUACAAACUCGCUAUAGUAGUCAUUAAAAAUUGAUAAUUUUGAAACAAUUUGGUCAUAAAAUAAACUAUGUCGAAAAAAAUAUAAAAUUUCAUUCCUCUCUCCUGCUUUAAUUUCUCUCUAUGUGUACAUAUAUAUGGACUAUAUAUAUAUUAUUCAAUUGGAGAGAGAGAGAGAGAGAGAGAGAGAGAGAGAGAGAGAGAGGAGGAGGAAAAGCAGGAGAAGUAAAGGCGCAGCUGGGAUCAAAAGUUGUGGAAGAAGUUAGGGUUUGGUGGUGUGCAAGGUAUGGGUGGUGAGGUGGCCAAAUAACGGCUAUAUUGGCAAGUACACAUAUGCAUGGGUUUUGCGCAGGUGUAGUGUUGGUGUUAAUUAGUGUUAGGGGAAUUAAAGUGUUGUGGGGAUCACAUGCAAAGCCCAUAUCCUGGGCUUAACUUUUUUAUUAAUAUUCCUCUCACCUUUUGCUGUAACGUAAAGCUCUUCAUCCCUCAUAUUCAUGCUAACACUAAAACCACCUGAACCUAGCUAGUUAUUUAUGUGAUCAGUAUCUAUACAUAUAUAUAUUUCCUAAUUAACAAAAAAAGAAAAGAAUAUAUAUAUAUAUACACACACACACACAUAUAUCAAAAGAUUUGCACGAAUUUUGAUGCGUUUUUCUUGGUCUAACAAACCUUUUUAUUGUUUUGUGUGAGUACUAUACUUCACCAUAUGCCACCUCACUCAUAUAAGCAAAAGGUGGAAGCUACCCCAACCUCUCCCUCUCCCUCUCCCACAUUAUAUAUAAAGGGAGUGUGAUAUCACCCUUCUCCUCAUUAUUAAGCUCCCCACUCAUCACCACCUCCCCUUUGGGAAAGGAGAGAGAGUGUUUAGGGUGUGGGAGAUUAAUUAAUCAAUUAAUUACUAAGGCUAGCUUCUUGUGUUUAGUUUGCUCUUUGGAUUUUGUUUGAGGGAGCUAGCUAGAUAUGGCUGUGUUGUCCUUGCACCACCCUUGCACCUUCACCUUUGGAAUCCUAGGUAUAUCAUUCUCCAUCGAUCGUAUGCAUAUUGCAUCAAAAUUAGUGCGAGUGAGCUGGGUCAUUAUAUUUUCACGGGCUCCUGUGCCUUUGGAGUAGUAGCUAGCUAGCUUCCUUUGAAUUGAUGAUUAGUUCUUGCUUUAAUUAUUUUUUCCUUCUUAUUUGGUUUAUGUGCUCUUAAUAAGUUGGAGAGAGAGAGAGAGAAAGAGAUGCACCUUGAUCUAGCUUGAACUACUACUAAAUUACACUAACCGAAGAAUUUAAGCUACUCUAAUUAAGUAGCUUUUGCAAGUACAAUGAUUAGAAAAUCUCAUUAAAUGUGCUCCUCUUCCUCAUAAGAUUGAUAUUAUUCUCACUUGGAAUUUGAAGCUAAUCUAUGCAUGUUUUCUCAAAAGCCAAAAAAAAAAGAGGAUACACACAUAUGUAUAUGUAUGUUUGCUUGAAUCACUUCCUCAAAUCAUAUGAAGAUAAUUAAUGCUGUAUCCUUCUCAUGCAUGAAUUGCAGGUAACAUCAUCUCAUUAAUGGUGUAUCUUGCCCCACUGUAAGAAUAUAUUCAAUUUUCUUUUUUUUACUCUUUAAUUUCCAUUUCAUUUCUUUUCUUGUUAUUUAAUUAAUUUGAUUUCUUGGCCACAAUUCGGAUGGUUAAUUUGCAGGCCUACAUUCUAUCGAGUUUACAAGAAGAAAUCGACUGAAGGAUUUCAAUCCAUACCAUAUAUCAUCGCACUGUUCAGCUCUAUGCUAUGGAUAUAUUACGCAAUCCUCAAACCUGAUGCUUCUCUCCUCAUCACCAUCAAUUCGAUCGGAUGCGCGAUCGAAGCGAUAUACAUCAUCACUUAUCUUGUUUUCGCACCAAAGAAUGUUAAGGUAAGUGAUAUGAAGAGAAGCAUAUCUCUUCAAGUUAUUGCAAAAAUCAUGAAAUUUCAAUACAAAUUUGGGGAGUAUAUAUAUAUUUUCUUUGGAAUUACAGAUCUUUACGGCAAAAAUACUGUUACUUUUGAUUGUUGGGGCGUACGGUACGAUUCUUCUGCUCACACUCUUGCUAUCGAAAGACUCUAGUCGUGUUCACCUUGUUGGUUGGAUCUGCAUGGGAUUCUCUGUGACCGUCUUCGUAGCUCCCCUAAGUAUCAUGGUGAGUAAGAAAAUUUAAUGAGGAUAUGUAAAUGAAGUUAUGUUGGUUUUUAUUUUUUUUGAAUAAUCACAUUGAUUAGAUCAAUAUUUGAUUUUUACAGAGGCUCGUGAUACGUACAAAAAGCGUUGAAUUCAUGCCUUUCUCGCUAUCGUUUUUCCUCACGUUGAGCGCUGUUGUUUGGUUCUUUUACGGUUUAUUGACAAAGGACAUAUAUGUCGCAGUAAUGACCUAAUAAUCAAUCGAUCACUUCUUUUCUUGUCUUACAUUUCGUUAUUUUUCUCCAAAUACAAUCUCUUGAUGACUUAUUCUUGAUCAAUUGUGUAGCUUCCAAAUGUAUUGGGGUUUCUAUUUGGGAUCAUGCAAAUGGUGCUCUACGUAGCGUAUAAGGACGUGAAACCAAUCACUCAAGAGUACAAGUUGCCCGAGAAGGGAUUGGGGGUCCAUCCGGUUGAUUCGAAGCCAUCGAAGAUCGAAAAUAAAGAUCACCACAUUGUUAUUGAAGGAGAUCCAAAGAUGCUCGACGGUACCGAGGGCGACAACAGGAAAGAAACUCAAGAGGGGAAUAAGAUGAGCCAUGUUGAGGUUUGAUACAUAGAACAUGCAAACAUGCGCACGCGCGCGCGCGCACGAGAGAGAAAGAGAGAGAGAGAGAGAGAGAGAGAGAGAAAGAGAGAGAGAGAGUUAUGUAGCACUUACCUUUGAUAAUACAUAUGGUUCUAUUAUUAGUAUUAAUUAUUUGUUCUUUGUAGACAGGAAGGGUGCAAUUUCCUUUUUCAACUAUUGGUAUGUAUCUUAUUUCACAUUUGUUUCAUGGUGAAUAAAAGCAAAAGUAGAACCUAAAACAAAGAAAAACAUGUAGUGUAUAUAUAUAGGUUUCAUUCCCUUGGUUUAAAAAUUAGCUCUUUUACCUCACAAUAUAUAUAGAGAAAACUUAGAAUUGUAAUGUUAAAAAGAAAAAUGCAAAUGAUACAUUAGUUAACAAACGAAUCAUCACCGACCGUCCCUAGAGCAACUGAGCAAAUGACAAAGGACUUGGUGAUUGAUACCCGAGACCCAAGUUCGAAUCCUAGUUGAUUCACAUUUCCAGCUAAGUUUAUUUCUAAAUGAAAUAAACGAAGCGGGUAGCGUGCUACCUAUCUCUCAAAAAAAAAAGAAAAGAAAAAACAAACGAAUCAUUGUACUAAUCAAAAGGUACAUUGUUACGUGUCAUACCUCGUAUUUAAAGAGUUGCCAUCUUUUUCUUUGUUAGCGAUAUAUCAGUAUUUGUCGUUUAAUACAUUGGUUCGUAAACGAAUAAUCACCGUACUUACCAAAAGGCAAACUAUUACAGAUGCCAUACGUGGCAUUCAAAUAAUCAUCAUCUUUUUCUCCAUCACUUAUCUAUAUUUGUCGUUAAUUAGCGUAUAGUACGUGAGAUUUAUUUCGUGUAAGAUUAUUCAACACUCACACUCCCAAGUACAAGUACGAGUUGAAAUAAAUGAUUCUUAACUUCUCUUUUCGUAUAUAAUGAUUUGUUUUGAAUGUUAUUGAGCUACUCCAACCUUCUAAGCUCUAAUUUAGAGAUUCAUGAAAUUAUUUGUGAAAAAGAUAAAAAAUUAAGCUACAAAGAAUUCUAUCAAACAUGUUUUAUAGUAAGUAAUAUUUGACGAUGAUUAGGGAAGCAUGUAAGUCGAUAAAAUUUUUUCUCUUUUUUCUCUGUUUGAGCCUUCGACUUCUCAGAUAAUAAUAACAAUAAUAAUAAGGUUUCAUAAUUGUAUGAACUUCUCAAGUACGAGUUGAAAUAAAUGACCUUUAAUUUUUUUUUCGUAUAUAAUAGUUUGUUUUGAAUGCUAUUGAGCUACUCCAACCUUUAUAAGCUCUAAUUUAGAGAUCCACGAAAUUAUUUGUGAAAAAGAUAAAAAAAUAAGCUACAAACACUACAAUAGAAACGAUGUAUAAUAAUAUUUUUAAAUAUCGGUACAGAUUAAAAAAGUGUUACUGGCUAAAUUACCGAUAUUUUUUAAAAGUAUUGCUAUAUGUGGGUAGCUAUAUAUAGGGCCGCUUUGAUGUUUGGUAUUCAUUUCUCUAGCGACCUGUGGCAGAGUGACACGUGACGAUCGUAAUCCUCUAUAGUCCAUGCGAGAUCCUUGCAGCCGAACUCCAGCUGUAAUUGGAACCCUUCAUCGUCGGCUGCGGCGGCAGAGGAGGAGAAAGGAAGAUGAUGAUCAUUUUUUUUUUCUUUUCUAUUUGUAAUCAGGCCGAGUGGGCUGGAUGAGAUUGGUUGAGUAGAGAAACUUUUUAUUUUUGUUUGGAUUGGGCUUUAUAUUUAUGUCUUAGUAGAUUUUUUUUAAAUUUUUUGGCAUAAAUCGGAUACUUUUGACACUUAUACAAAAAUAUCCAAAAAAUAUGUUUCUAUAUCUAAUUCUAUUGUAGUGAAAGAAUUUUAUCAAACAUGUUUCACCACAAAACCCAUUUAUUGCCGUCAGAUAUCACAAGUAUUGGUUCGAGAUUCGUAGUAAGUAAUAUUUGACAAUGAUUAAGGAAGCAUGUAAGUCGAUAAAAUUUUUUUCUUUGUUUAAGCCUCUGACUUCUCAGAAUAAUAAUAACUAGUGUAGCAGCCCACACGUUGCGGCGGGUAGAUAUUACUAAAAUAAAUUUAAUAUCUAACUAAUAUAUCAAAAGUUUGCUAUUAUUUUAAAAAUCAAAAUAGUCUAAAUAUAUUGGCUUUUUUGCAAAAAUAUAUUAAUUUGUUGAAGCAGAUUAGUAACAAAAUGCCCAUAAAAAGAUAAUAAGUAUGUCAACCUAUUGAGCCGAAAAGCGACAUACUAUUUGGGAGAGAUUUAGAUAAAAAAUUCAAUAAAAAUUAACAUUUUAUAAAUCAAAUCAAAACAAUCAAAGGGUUAAAUUUUUUUGUAUAAGUUAUAUAUUUAUCUCUUCAUUUUCUAAAUAAGGUAUGAUACUUAUCUCUUCAAGAAAAUGAAGACUGUUUAAAUCAUAUAUCAAUCUAAUUUUGUAAAUAUUUUUAUAUUAGUUAAUAAAAAGAGUCGUGGAAGUAAAAAAGCAUAUGAAAAGUUAUAUACUAAAUAUUUAAGAGACAAAAAGAUAUACAACCUAACACAAUCUAAUACAGCAAAUAUAAUACAAAAUUUUACUUUCGAAAAAAAAUAUAAAGAACAAAGGAUAGAAAAAAAAAGUAAUAAAUCUUUAACACAACAAAUAUAUCGGGUCGAAUACCAUGCAAAUAAAAAAAAACUUGAAAAAACUAAAUAAAGUUAUCUAAGAAAUUUCAGCGCUACAAUAUAAAGAAUAUAUAAAUCUUUUAAAAGAACUCCUGAAAUUUGAAGAAAUGCUCGAUUUGAUGAAGAUGACAGCGCCAAGCUCGGUGAUGCAGCGUGCAAACUCAUACUCCGUCCAUAGAACGUGCUCGAUCUUGGCCUCGGAGCUCAUGGAGGAGGAAGAGAAAGUAGAGAAGGAGAGAAGAGGGCUUUUCAUGAGUUUCUACGAUUUACGGUUUAGAUUAAGGUUAAAAUGCGUGGACCAUUAAUUAGACGUUAUGUGCGGAGAAAAGACGAAGGGUUGGGUUAAGGUGGGUGGACCAUUAAUUAGACGUUAUGGGUGGAGGGAAGCGAAGACAUUAUGGGUGGAGAGAAAGCGAAGAGUUGGGUUAAGGUGGGUGAACUAUUAAUUAAACGUUAUGAGUGGGGGAAGGCGAAGGGUUGGUUUCGCAAUGUGAAACCUAAAACUAAAGGAAACACAGCCACAUGGCAUUUUUUUGAGGAUUAAUGUAUAAGUAUAGGUAUAGAUAAUAAUAAUAAAUAAAAAUAAGGGUACAUAAUUUUAUGGACUUUCCAAGUACGAGCUGAAAUAAAUGACCCUUAACUUCUCUUCUCGUAUAAAAUAGUUUGUUUUGAAUGCUAUCGGGCUACUCCAACCUUUAGGGAUCCAUGAAAUUAUUUGUGAAAAAAAAAAGGCCAAUUUGCAUAAAAAAUCUAUUAGUUUUGAGUUUUUGCAAAAGUAAGCCGUCUUUUUGAAUUUUGCAGAUUCGGGCCGAACUUUUAGAAGAAUGACAAACUACCCCUCUUUCAAAAUACAUAAAAAUUAUAUGCUUUAAAUGUCUAGAAAAAUACAAGUGCUAAGCCAUUGAGUGUAAAAUUUUUUGAAAAUGAUAAUUCCUAAGGCAUAACUAUAUGUACUUUUCUCGUGAAACGAGAAAUCUCAUUCAAAACAAAAUAAAAAGAAUAAAGAAUAAUUAAUAAGAUAAAAAAGUGCAACAUCCUUUCAAAUAGUGCAAUAUCUGUAUAAGUAGUGCAACAUAUGUAUUAUUAAUACAUAUUUUUACAUGAUUUUUACACUAAAUUACGUACAGUUUAGUAUAUUACUCGAAAAUAAUAUAAUAUAUUAAAACAUACUAUAAAAAUUAUACAAUAUAUAUACAAACAGUACAUAUUUUAUACUAUUUGUACAGAUGUUUACACCAUUUGUAUAAACGUUGCAUUAUUAUGAGAGAAUGUUGCACUAUUUAGAUGUGUAUUGCACACUUUCUUUUUAAAAAUUAAAUUUUAUUGCAUAUUAAAUAUAGUGUCAAAUUUCUUUAAAAUGACAACUGGUAAGCCAUAAUUAUAUGUAUCUUUCUCGUGAAACGAGAAUCCUCAUUCAAAACAAAAUAAAAAGAAUAAAUAAUAAUAAAUAAGAUGAAAAAGUGCAGCAUUCUCUCAAAUAGUGCAAAGAUACUCUUCCAAAUAGUGCAAUAUCUUAUAAGUAGUACAACAUAUGCAUUGUUAAUACACAUUUUCAUGAUUUUUACACUAAAUUAUAUACAGUUUAGUAUAUUACAAAAAAAUAAUAUAAUAUACUACAAUAUAUUAUAAAAAUUAUACAACAUAUGUACAAACGGUGCAUAUUUUAUACUAUUUGUAUAGAUAUUUACACCAUUUGUAUAAACGUUGCAUUAUUAUGAGAGAAUGUUGCAUCAUUUAGAUGUGUGUUGCACUCUUUCUUUUUAAAAAUUAAUUUUCAUUGCAUAUUAAAUAAAGUGUCAAUUUUUUGGAAAUGACAAUUGCUUAGUCAUAAUUACAUGUACCUUUCUCGUGAAACGAGAAACCUCAUUUAAGACAAAAUAAAAAAAAUAAAAAAUAAUUAAUAAGAAGAAAGAGUGCAACAUCCUCUCAAAUAGUGUAACAUGCGCUUCCAAAUAGUGCAACAUCUGUAUAAUAGUGUAACAUAUGUAUUAUUAAGACACAUUUUGCAUGAUUUUUACACUAAAUUACGUACAGUUUAGUAUAUUACACAAAACUAAUAUAAUAUAUUAUGCGUAAUAUAACUACAUUUUGUAAUAUAUUAUAUUAUUUCUGCGUAAUAAACUAAACUGCACGUAAUUUUGUAUAAAAAUCAUUCAAAAUAUGUAUUAACAAUAUAUAUGUUGCACUACUUAUACAGAUAUUGCACUAUUUGGAAGAGCAUGCUGCACUAUUUAAUCUUAUUAAUUAUUUUUUAUUCUUUCUUUUUGUCUUGAAUGAGAAUUCUCGUUUCACGAGAAUUGUACAUUUAAUUAUGGCUUAGCAGUUGUCAUUUUUAAAAAUUUUGACACUUUAUUUAAUAUUUAAUAAAUUUUUUUUUCAAAAAAUGAGUACAAUACACAUCUAAAUGGUGCAAUAUCCUCUCAUAAUAGUGCAAUAUUUACACAAAUGGUAUAAAUAUCUGUACAAAUAGUGUAAAAUAUGCACCGUUUGUACAUAUAUUGUAUAAUUUUUAUAGUAUGUUGUAAUAUAUUAUACUAUUUUCGCGUAAUAUACAAAACUGUGCGUAAUUUAGUGUAAAAAUCAUGCAAAAUGUGUAUUAAUAAUAUAUAUGUUGCACUACUUAUGCGGAUAUUACAUUAUUUGGAAGAGCAUGUUGCACUAUUUGAAAGGAUGUUGCGCUCUUUCAUCUUAUUAAUUAUUUUUUAUUCUUUUUAUUUUAUCUUGAAUGAGGUUUUUCGUUUUACAAGAAAGGUAUAUGUAAUUAUGGCUUAACAGUUGUCAUUUUUAAAAAAUUUGGCACUUUAUUUAAUAUGCAAUGAAAUUUAAUUUUCAAAAAGAAAGAGUGCAAUAUACAUCUAAAUGGUGCAACAUCCUUUAAUAAUAGUGCAAUAUUUACACAAAUGGUGUAAAUAUCUGUACGAAUAGUAUAAAAUAUGUACCGUUUAUACAUAUAUUGUAUAAUUUUUAUUGUAUGUUGUAAUAUAUUAUAUUAGUUUGCGCAAUAUAUUAAACUGUACGUAAUAUAUUGAAAAGUUCUCGACUUUUCGAUUUACCCCUCUUAGAAGGCUAAUAUUGAAAAUACCCUCUUUACGUUCCAACCUAUUUCUAAUAUACCCCUAGAGUUAAAAUCUGUUAAUUAACUCUGUUAACUAUGUAAAAUUACUAUUUUGCCCUUUCAAAUAUAUCCUUCCACCGUCAGUGACUUUUUUAUUUGCCCUUAAAGUCUGGGGCACAAAAAGUAUUUUGACUUUUGGUCUUUUCCAAUAUACCCAUCUACCGUCACCAACAUUUUUUAUUUGCCUUUAAGUUAAGGGCAAAAUUGACAUUUUAAUUUUUUUUAACUGUGGUAGAUGUUUAAUUCACGUUUAACCCAAGUUAACUUAACAGGAGAUAACUGCGAAGGUAUUUUGCAAUAACGGUGGAACAUAUGAGGGGUAUUUUAGAAAGAAAAAAAAAAGUAGGGGUAAAUCGGAUAUUUUCAAACGUAUAAGGGGUAUAUAGGCAAUUAUUCCUAAUUUUUAUAUAUUUUGAAAGAGAGGUAGUUUGGUCAUUCUUCUGAAAAUUCGGUCCGAAUCUGUAAAAUUCAAAAAGACGGUAUAUUUUUGCAAAAGCUGAAAACUAAUAAAUUUUUUAUGUAAAUUGGCCAAAAAAAAAUUAAACUACAAAGAAUUCUAUCAAACAAGUUUCAUCACGAAACCCAUUUAUAUUGUCAGAUAUCGCAAGUAUUGCUUCGAGAUUCAUAGUAAGUAAUAUUUGACGGUGAUCAAGGAAGCAUGUAAGUCGAUAAAUUUUUUUCUCUUUUUUCUCUGUUCAAAUCUCCCACUUUUCAUAAUAAUAAUAAUAAUAAUAAUAAUAAUAAUAAUAAAUAAGAAAUCUAUAGUAUAUAGGGAAAACUUCAAAAACCCCUCGUAGUUUUGUAGUUUCUCAUUUUGCCCCCCUGUAGUUUACAAUGUAUCAAUUUGCCCCUCUGUGGUUUCUUUUUUCUCUUUUUCUUAUCAAUUUUAUUAUUUUUUUUCUUAAAUCAGUGAUAAAGUUAAAAUUAAAUGAUACUAAUGUGAAUAUUUGAUAAAUCUAGAUGGAUAUCUGAAGUUUUUUAUAUAUAAUUUAAUAAAAUAUUAACGAAAAAGCUACUGAAAAGAAAAAACGAAACCACAGGGGGGCAAUUUGAUACAUUUUAAACUAUAGGGGGUAAAGUGAGAAACUAUGAAACCACGGGGAGUUUUUUGAAGUUUUCCCCUUAAUAUAUGAUUAAAAAAAUUUAUAAUUUUUUUAAUUCAAUCUAAAAUUUUAUUUAUUUUUAUAAAAAUUUAAAAUAUAUAAAUAAUUUUUAAAUAAGUUAAAUUACUUGUAUUAAAUAUAAAUUUGAAUUAAACUGAAUAAAAGAAUUAUUAAAAAUAUAUAAAAACUAAGGAAGGAAAUUUAAAAAUGAAACAUAAAAAAAUAAAAAAAAUAAAAAUAAAUAAGGAUAAGAUAAAUAAAAGAAGAAUAGAGGCAAAAAUGUAAGAACAAUAAAUUAUUUUUUCUAAAAAUUAUAUAUAAUUAUAAUAAUAAUUAUAAUAUAUAUAAUUAUAAAUAUAAUUAUAUAUAAUUUCUUAUUAGUAUGAUUUUUGCCUUUAUUUUUUUAAUAUUCUUUAUAAUUUAUUUUUAUAUUUUUAUUACAGCAAUAUUUGUUUAUUUUUUAGUUAUUUUUUUAUAUCAUUUUUUGACUUUUUUUUUACUAUUAUUUAUUUUAUUUAUAUAUUUAUUUUUACACAAUUAUUUCGCUGCAACACGCUAGUCCUUCACUAGUAAAUAAUAAAAACACAAGGUUUCAUAAUUUUAUGGGCUUCUCAGCAGAGCCCACUUUGGCCCACAAACCAUAUUUGAGGAGAGAGAAAGAGCUUAGAGAGAGAGAGAGAGAGAGCUGUGUUGCUCUCCCAUGUAUCGUUGCUAUCGUGCGCUUGUGCCCAGGGGGCGCACGCUAGCGACCCGACGCUUUCUCUCCGACUCACUGGAAUUAGGGUUAGGGUUUCCGAAGCCGAGCCUCCCCGGGAUCGAGCCCUCCCCCGGCGCCGACACGCUCGCGGCGCUCCUCCUCCGGCACCACAACCCCUUCCACCCGCUCGAGUCCCCGCUCGAGCUCGUCGCCCUCGGCGGCGGCGCCGCCCUCUCCCCCGCCCUCGUCGUCCAGACCCUCCUCCGCCUCCGCCACGCCUCCAAGGUCGCCCUCGCCUUCUUCGUCUCCGUCCGCGACCACGUCCACCACCACCGUUGCAAUGGCGGCGCCCAACCCCUCCUCGGCCCCGCCGCGUACGACGCCAUGGUCGACAUCCUCGGCCGCGUGCGCCAGUUCGACGUCGCGUGGCAGCUCAUCGUCGAGAUGGGCUGCGGCGGCGGCGGCGGCGGCGGCGGCGAUGUGGGGCCCACGCCGAGGACGUUCGCGGUGCUGGUGAGGAGGUACGUGGCGGCGGGGAUGACGCGGCAGGCGAUCCGGUCCUUCGACGACAUGGAGGCGUUCGUCGGGAGGGAGCCGGGCUCGGCGGAGUUCCAGAUGCUUCUGGACACCCUCUGCAAGUAUGGGCACGCAAAGGUAUCGCCUUUAUUGCGAACUUUUCCUUUUCCUUUUCCCAUGGCUCUAUUGAUUAGCUCUUCUGAUACAAUUGCUUCCUUACUUGCUUUGUAACAGGGAGUUUUAUUUGAUUAGAUUUGUUUGAUUUUGGGAUGCUCCAUUUCUUUAUAAAUGUUGAUUAUAAUGCAUGGUUAUACUGGUGAAUGAGAAGUUUGCAAUUUCGCGACGGCGAAUAGUGUAAAAUUCAUUUUUUGUGGCAAUUUGUGUGUACUGUUUGUUUUAUAUGUCUUUGUUAGAUUGGUGAUAUAGAUUACAGUCACUCAGGUUUUGCAUGGGAAAUCAUUGUGGUGUUCAUGAGUACUAAUUCUUUUUUCAAAUUUAAGAAUCGAGCAUUCCUCAAAAGUUUCGGAAUUUGGAUUGCACCACAGGUUGCACACUUCUUCUUUUUUUUUUAUAGAUUUAAGAGGCAACGACGGACUUUAAACUCAAUAAACUGAGUUAUCUUGAAGCUUUGCAAAUCCGUUUACGGAGCACAUGUUUUGCAGUAAGAUGAUUUUACCAUCUCCAACACUUGUUCAUCUAAUUAUGCUGAACGCUCUUACAGCGUUCGUUUCUUUUCCUUAUUUUACAUUAUGAGUGAAUGAUUGGGUUAUUCAGCUGAUCUUGUUUCAAUCCUGAGGUAUUCACUGGUUGGAGUAUUUUGAUGAUCAUUGCAGGUUGCAACAGAGAUAUUCAACAAGAGAAAAUCCAAGUACGAACCCGACGAGAAGACGUACUCGAUCUUGAUUUAUGGAUGGUGCAAGGUAAACCAGCUUGAAAUGGCCCAAAAGUUCCUAAAAGAAAUGACCGAUCGUGGGGUAGAACCGAAUAUAGUUACAUAUAACAUCCUGCUGAAUGGGAUUUGCAGGCACGCGAGCUUGCACCCGGAAAAUCGCUUCGACAGAACAAUCCGUGCUGCUGAGGACCUUUUGAAGGAAAUGGGGUCUAGGGGGAUUGAACCCGAUGUGACGAGCUACUCUAUCAUUCUACAUGUUUAUAGCCGGGCCCACAAACCCGAGCUCUGUCUUCAUAUGUUCCGGUCAAUGAGAGAGAAAGGCAUUUGCCCCACUGUGGCGACGUACACCUCGGUAGUUAAAUGUCUGGCUUCUUGUGGGAGAUUAGAAGCUGCAGAAAAAUUACUCGAUGAAAUGUCUAGCAAUGGAGUGUGCCCAUCCCCCGCCACUUAUAAUUGCUUCUUUAAGGAAUAUAGAGGGAGAAAUGAUUGGGAAGGCGCAAUGAAUUUGUACAAGAAAAUGAAGGAAUCGGGCUCGUUAAGCAAGCCCGAUAUUCACACGUACAAUAUAUUACUUGGAAUGUUCUCGAAGUUGGAUCGAUUAGGAACUGUUCGGGAAUUGUGGAGUGAUAUGAGUGAGAGUGGUGUUGGGCCGGAUUUGGAUUCGUACACUUUGCUCAUCCAUGGGCUUUGCGAGAAGAAUAAGUGGAGAGAAGCGUGCCAGUUCUUUAUGGAGAUGAUAGAGAAAGGGUUUCUCCCGCAGAAGGUUACAUUCGAGACUCUUUAUCGAGGAUUGAUUCAAGCUGAUAUGUUGAGGACUUGGAGGAGAUUGAAGAAGAAGGUUGAUGAAGAAUCAUUGAAAUUUGGUGCUGAGUUUGAGCAUUAUCAUUUUAAACCGUAUAAGAGAUGAUUUUAGUUGUGGGCUUGAAUUUUGUAAAUACGUGAUUGGGAAGAUGAGGCUUUUUUCUUAGGGCUGAUUUUACAUGGCAAAAUGCAAAAAAGAUUGAAAACAGUUUGGAAGUGGUAUCAUAAUUAUAGGUGCUGUAAGGCAUCAUGCUUAAAGAUGAUUAUUUUGAUACAAUCCAACAACUCUGCAGCUUGUUAUCUGUCUGCGUAAGUGCUCUGGGACAGGUCAGUUUGAAGAAGCCCUAAUAGCUUUUCUGUCAAAAUCAUUGUGGCAUCUUUCGACUGUAGCUAGAAGCAGAAAUUCCGAAGCGGCUCCUGAUUUAGUGGCUCAAAAGCUCAUGUUGCACAUUCCUCUCCAACCAAAAGCUCAACACCGUUUGUUUGGCAAACAUUCAUCUUCUACUUCUAUAGUUAAGAAGCUCUUCUUGAAGGCGUGAAAAAAAAAGGUUUGUCAGUGCUGUCGUCAGCAAUGUACGUAUGUUCUCUUACCAAGUGCUUGAGAAAUCUUUCUUUAAAGUUUUUCUUAGUCUUACUAUUUAUGAUUGUUUCAACCAUAUAUUUCUAUGUUUUCUACAUUGGUUAACAAGUUAAGGUCUUUUAUUCGUAGUUCGGUGGAUAUAUUUUUAUAAAUGGUUUGGUGAGUGUGAGAUGCUACCAAAGAAUAAUAUAUUGUGUUGUAUCUUUGGACUAGCUCGCUUAGCUUAAGCGAGCUUACUAAACAAGUAAAAUAUUUGAAUCGAGCCAUAAUUGAGUAAUUGAUCUCGUCGUGUAUGCUAUUGAGUUUCUUUGGUUAUGUUCUCUGUCCCCUUUUCGGAAGUUAAGGCCUUGUUUGGUACUACUUUAGUCAAUGUUUUUCUUAGCUCAGAUUGUAUGCUGUUGAUCUCAAUUCGAAUAAGCUUUUGUUCAUUAGCUAACAACAAGCCUAGUGUAAACCUUCUUUGUGCUGAAGUACUUUUAUGUUGGACUUGUCUCAGUUACUUUUGAAUUGCCCUCAUCAUUUGAAACUGUUUUGGGAAUUAACCAAGAGAAUUUGGUGGCUUAGAGGAUGAUAAACUGGGGAGAUGAAGGAAGAUAAACAUUAUUUUAUGACUCCAAAUACCCGAUUAGUAUAAUUUCCUACAGUUGCCGGACAUUGUUGGAAUUAGAGGGCAGCGAAAAUUUACAAACUAGAUAGCCGACGUAUCUAGUAACUAAAAUUAGAUCGGGUUGCUUGUUUUACUAGCUAGAUAUUAAAUUCAAUCAAACAAACAUCGAAUAACUAUACAUUUGUGCUUACAUUUGAUGAAUUGAUGCAGGGAGUAUAUAUUUGAAUAUUUCAUUGUCGUAAUUCUGGAAUUUUAAAUGAUUCACUACCUAAGCUAGUGGAAUAUCUUUAUAGAUGAUAGAGACAUGUUUGCUUUUAAAGCAUACACACAUGGAAUGCAACUUAGUUGCAUUGUGUUUUGAAUGAUGCUUCAUUCAAAACAGCUGACUCACACAACUAGUGCCUUGUUGUUACUUUAAAUAUUUGCUAUUUCUGCUUGAUUUUCAUUUGAGAAGAUUGAGAAAGUUGGAAAGUAAUAAACUGCAUAGUUUUAUGAGAAAUUGGAGAAAAUCAAAACAUUUUCCUUUGAUGGUAAUUAGAAGUUCUCAUUAGAAGAAAAUCUGGAAUUAGAUACACUUCAAAAGUGACAUUGAGAAUAAGUCUUGAAGUAGUCUUCCGUUUAUAAAGAAUAUAUUUCUAAUUGAUUUUUUUAAUCCUAAGAGAAAUAAAAAUAGCAAUUUUUACUAUAAACGUGAUUCACCAGCAGAUGCAGCGUGAAUAGAAUUUAAAGUGAAUAGAAUUCAAAGAAAGAUGUUUGGUAAAAUAAUUUAAUAGUCAUAAUGAAAGAACAGUCUAUAUCUCUGAAAUUGAGACCACCCUUACAAUGAAGGGUUAAUAGAAUGCAAUUAAUUGCAUUUUGUUCUGAUUUAAUAGUUGUAGUGAAAUAAUAAUUUAUAUCUUUAAAAUUGAGAUAGGUAGAAUUAAGGGUGAAUAGAAUGUAUUUUAUUUUGAUUUUGUAAUAUUAUUUUUGUAAUGUUAUUGUGAAUUUCACAUUUAAUAAAAUCAUGAGAAGAAAGAAUAUUUUUAGCCUUAAAUUUUUUGCCUUAGAACUAAUUUAAUAGUAUUACUAUAACUUAGUAUUUUCAUUGAAACGUUAUAACUGAGGAAAAGAUAAUGCAAUCGGCAAAUAUAAAUAUAGACAGAUAGUUAGACUACUAUACUCUUGUUAGAUUUUUGAUGAUGGAGCUUCUACAUUGAAAUUCAUAUUGUUAAACAGAAAGUACUCCAUCAUCGAAAAUAAAUUUUAUAAUUUUUCGAUAUUAUUCACCGUUAUGAUCGAAAACGACUUAAUAGUACGGGGCUACUAUGCUCUUAUGAGUAUAGAGCUUUUUGUACUCAUAAGUUAUUUUUGUUGAUGGAGUUUUCUAAUUAGCGAUCCACUCUGUUAAAUAUAAUCUAGAGUAUUUGAAACUUCUAAAAAAUAAAUUUUGUAACUUUUCGAAAUUAUAAUAAAGUCUAUCAAGCAGGCAUAAAAUGAACAAUAAAAAUCGAACGACGUUUUAAAAAUAGAUAAUCGAAUCCUUCAAUUUAAGAUCGGAGUUAUUAAUCUUUAUCCAGCUAGUUAAUAAAAUUUUUUUAUUAAAAAUUCAAUCUAUUCUAAUUCUUUUACACUGUUAAACUAGCAAGUAUUCCAAACCGACCAUUGAAAAUUAUCAAUUUUGUGACAUUUUGAUCGUAAGAUAAAUGAUGUCGAAAAAUAAUGAAAUUUGAUUUCUAGAAGUUUUAAAUGUUCUAAAUAAUGUUUAACGGUAUGAAUUGUCGAUUCGGAAAUUCUAUCACCGAAAGCAACUUAUGAGUACGAGUGUGAUUGUAUUUAUAAGAAUAUAGUAGCCGGACUAUAUAUAUAUAUAUAUAUAUAUAUAUAUAUAUAUAUAGUGUCCGGCUAUUAUACUUUUAUGAGUAUGAUCGCUCUCAUACUCAUAAAUCAUUUUCGAUGAUAGAGCUUCCGAAUCAACGAUCCAUACCGUUAAACAUUAUUUACAGCAUUUAAAACUUCUAGAAAUCAAAUUUUAUAAUUUUUCGACAUUAUUUACCUUACGAUCAAGAGGUCACAAAUUUGACAAUUUUUAAUAGCUGGUAUGGGAUAUUUGCUAGUUUAACAGUGUAAAAGAAUCGAAAUUUGUUGAAUUUUUGAUAGAAUUUUUGAUAGAAAAUUCUAUUCAUUACCUAGAUAAAGAUCAAUAACUCUGAUCUUUGAAUUGAAGGAUCCGAUCAUCUUUUUUUAGGAUGUCGUUCGAUUUUGACCGUUCAUUUUAUGCCCGCUUGAUGAACUUUAUUAUGAUUUCGAAAAUUUACGAAAAUACUCUGGAUCAUAUUUAACGAAGUGGAUCGUCGAUUCGGAAGCUCCAUCAUUGAAAAAAACUUAUGAGUACGAGAGCUCCAAUACUCAUAAUAGUAUAGUAGCCUCGGCCAUAUAUAUAUAUAUAUAUAUAUAGGCUACAAAGAAUAUGUAGGCCGCUAAGAAUCGGCUACUAAGAAUAUUCCGAUUAUCAAUUUGAAGUUUCGAUCAUUCAUAUCGACUUGAUAGGACAAUGCCCUCAAUCCUAUUAAUAGUAUAGUAGCCGGACUCUAUAGAGCUAGGCUACUAUACUAUCGGUAGCACGGAGCGCUCCGUGCUACCAAGUUGUUUUCGAUGAUGUGGCUUUCAAAUCGACGAUCGGCUCCGUUAGAGUUGAUCUACACUAUUGAAAGUAUUUAGAAAGUAAAUUUCAUAAUUUUUCGAUAUCAUUUACCUAUCAAACAAGUAGUCUAAAAUUGAACGGCUGAAAAUAAAAAUCUCAUAAAAAAUGAUGAUAAAAGAUUUAAAUUCAAGAUCAGAUAUACUGAUCUUACUCUAAAUAGUGAAAAGAAUUUUCUAUAAAAUUUUCAUCGCAUUUGAAUUGUUUUACACCGUUAAACUCACAAACACACUACAUCGGUCAUUAAAAUUGUCAAUUUUGAGAUCUUUUGAUCACUAGUCAAAUGAUGUCGAAAAAAUUUAAAAUUUAGUUUCCAAAUACUUUCAAUAAUGUAGAUUAAGUCUAACGGAGCCGAUCGUCGAUUUGGAAGCCGCAUCAUCGAAAGCAACUUGGUAGCACGGAGCGCUCCGUGCUACCGAUAGCAUAGUAGCCGG
Molecule: long non-coding RNA, 55204 nt
Filed under: Ananas comosus (pineapple)
Lineage: Eukaryota; Viridiplantae; Streptophyta; Magnoliopsida; Poales; Bromeliaceae
Description: long non-coding RNA (ACOM_LNC028698)
Source: RNAcentral